GCACAAAUUUGCUUGCUGGCAACCAUGUGAGAUGGGACUUUCUCCUCCUUGACUUUCGCCAUGAUUGUGAGGCCUUCCCAGCCAUGUGGAACUCUUCUUUCGUGGCAAUUUUCCCCCAGGAGGGAUUUCCCUGCAGUGGACCUCCUCCCCAGUGGUACCUUCAGCCAUCAGAACACCUCGCUUUAGAUCUGUGGGUCCCAAAUUUCAUCAAAUCCAAUGACCAUUUCUAUGAUCACUCAUUCUGGGGGCAGCCCUCUGGCAUGUAAUGAGCAGUCCUAUGGAGAGGCCCAUGUGACAGUAGCCAUGCGAGUGACACUGGAAGUGAAACCUGCAGCUCCAGUCAAGCCUUUAGAAGACUGCAGCCCUGGCUGACAGCUUGACAGCAAACUCAUGAGAGACUCUCAGCUUGAACAACUCAGCUAAACUGUUCCUGGGUUCCUGGUCCUCAAAAACUGAAACCUCAGUUCCUCCUCAUGUGGGCCUCUCCACAGGCUGCUCGAGUACCCUCACAAGAUGGUGGCUGCCUUGCCUCAGAGGAAGAGACUGAAGAAAAUAAGAUAGUUGGAAAAGACUUGGCUGAAGAAGUAACACGUGACCUGGAGCCUGAAUGAUGAGAAAGAGGCAACUUUAAGACAACUUGAAAGUCAAGUUUUCAGAACAAAAGGGACUCCAAGUACAAGAAGCCUGAGGAAGAACCAAGCUUAGAGUGUUCAAGGGACAGACAGGAGGCCAGUGUGGUUGAAGCAGGGGCACCACCAUUUUACCUGUGGUCACCAGCAUGCAUAAAAUGUACAACACGAAGACUGAACCCUAGUGUGAGGUGGAGGGGAGCAGGGCAGAGGGGCCAGAUUAUAGGUUCUCAAAGGCCAUGGUAAGAAUUUUAUAUUUCAUUCUGGUUGUGAUGAGAAACUUCUGACUUCAAGUUUGAAGCAAGGGAGUGACAUCAUCUAUGUGAUGCUCUAGAACAACUGCUCUAGUUACAAGGCGAAGGAUGGACAGGAGGGCAGGAGAAGGAAGCCUGACAGAUUCUCCAAAAGGACAAAAAGUCAACGUAGCUGAUGAUCAUGAUGAGGGCAGUCACGCUUAGGGCUGGAGUCAAAGGGCAGUUUUGGGAAAAUUUUGGGAAAAUGGCAGAAGUAGAAGUCUUGAAUAUCGCAUCAGAAAUGUGAUGCUCAUUUUUAUUUUUUUCUUUUCUUUUAGAUGGAGUCUUGCUCUGUUGCCCAGGCUGGAGAGCAGUGGCACGAUGUUGGUUCACUGCAACCUCCGCCUCCCAUGUUCAAGUGAUUCUCCUGCCUCAGCCUCCUGAGUAGCUGGGAUUACAGGUGUCCACCACCAUGCCCUGCUAAUUUUUGUAUUUUUAGUAGAGACGGGGUUUCACCAUGUUGGUCAGGCUGGUCUUGAACUCCUGACCCGCCUCGGCCUCCCAAAGUGCUGGAAUUGCUCAUUUUUAAUCUCAGCAGCUCAUUCACAGAUCAUACAUGGAAACUUAUCACUCACACCUAAGCCUUCUUUGCCUGUCUUAGAGAUCCCUGGUGCAAGAAACUGUAAGAUUAUUUGACACAUUUUCUCUGUCUCACCCUAACAGCCUCUUUCUAGUAUUUGUUUUAAAAAACUUAUUUUUUUUUUUUUUGAGAAGUUUUUUAGAGCAAGGGUUUGGGGAGACAGAGGGAUGAAUAAGUGGAGCCCAGAGGGUUUUUAGGGCAGUAAAACUACUCUACAUGAUACUGUAAUGGUGGAUACAUGUCACCACCAUGCAUAAAAUGUACAACACCAAGACUGAACCCUAGGGUGAAAUAUGGACUCAGGCUGAUAAUGAUGUGUCAGUGUAGGUUUAUCAGUUGUAACAAAUGUACCACUUUGAGGCUGGGAGCGGUGGCUCAUGCCUGUAAUCCCAGUACUUUGGGAGUCCAAGGUGGGCAGAUCACCUGAGGUCAGGAGUUCAAGACCAGCCUGGCCAACAUUGUGAAACCUCGUCUCUACUAAAACUACAAAAAUUAGCUGGGCAUGGUGGCGGGUGCCUAUAAUCCCAGCUACUUGGGAGGCUGAGGCAGGAGAAUCGCUUGAACCUUGGAGGUUGAGGUUGCGGUGAGCUGAGAUGGUGCCACUGCACUCCAGCCUGGUCCACAGAGCGAGACUCCAUCUCAAAAAAAAAAAAAAGUACCACUUUGGGGGUGGUGUUGAUAAUGGGGGAGGCUGUACAUGUGUAGGGGUAGGAGGCAUGUAGGAAAUGUCUGUAGCUUUCCCUCAGUUUUGCUGUAAAUCUUACUAGUGUUUGAAUGCCAAAUCCUUAAGAUCAUAUCUAUUUCUUGUCACUGGCAGUGAGUUCUGUUCUUGACUUUCCACUAAGAGCAGUACUGAUGACAACAUCCCGCAGUAUUUUAUGAGCCGGAGAACAUUAACAUAUCUAAAAGAGUACAUUUUCCUCUGGAGGGCCACCAGCCUGUAAACUGCAGGUCAAAAAGCUGAGUGUGAACAGCAUUGUUAGGACAUGUUUCUAAGUGUAUGCCAAUAUGUCCACAGAGGUUUUUUUAGACUUAUAAAGCGAGCUAAAGAAGACUUUUGUUCCAUUUUCUGAUUUUUAAUUUAUAUAGACAUUUUUUCAUUUGAAGAAAGUGCAUAUAUUUUUAAAGGAAAGGUACUCUUAAGUCUAUCCAUUUAAGAAAAUAUUAAUCUCCAUGGAGAAGAAAUUUUCCAUAUUUUAAAAUUUAUUGUGUGUAGGUAUAUUCCAUAUACACUCUAUAAAUAAAAAGCACACUGGCUGGGCGCAGUGGCUCAUAUCUAUAAUCCCAAUGCUUUGGGAGGCUGAGGCGGGCAGAUCACCUGAGGUCAGGAGUUUGAGACCAGCCUGGCCAACAUUGUGAAACCCUGUCUCUACUAAAGAUACAAAAAUUAUCUGGGUGUGAUGGCAGACGCCUAUAGUCCCAGCUACUCAGGAGGCUGAGGCAGGAGAAUCACUUGAACCUAGGAGGUGGAGGUUGCAGUGAGCCAAGAUGGCACUACUGCACUCCAGCCUGGGCAACAGAGCGACACUCCAUCUCAAAAAAAUAAAUAAAUAAAUAAAAUAAAAAGCACACACUAUCACAAAGAAGAUGGUGGCAAAAAUAAUAAUAAAAAUAGUAAGUAAAUAAAUAGCACAGAAGUAUUUACAGUAAAAAAUUAGGUCUCCUUCCAGCCCCCACCUGCCAAUCACUCUCAGGAGGCACCCACUGUCUUCAGCUACAAAGCUUUCAGAGAGAUUUUAUUAAUAUAAGCAAAUACAUACUUUUUAAAAAAGUAUAAAUAAGGCCUGGUGCAGUGGCUCACGUCUGUAAUUCCAGCACUUUGGGAGGAUGAGGUGGAAGGAUCUCUUCAGGCCAGGAGUUAGAGACCAGCCUGGGCAACAUAACAAGACCCCCAUCUCUAAAAAAACAAUCAAAAAAACUAACUGGGCAUGGUGGCAUGGUUCUAUAGUCCCAGCUACUCAGGAAGCUGAGAGUGAGGGAUUUCUUGAUUCCAGGACUUCGAGGCUGUCACCCACUCCAGCUUGGGUGACAGAGCAAGACUCUGUCUCAAAAAAAAAAAAAGUAUAAACACUAGCAUAUCAUAUAUUGCCCUGGACUUUUCUUUUUGAUUUAACAUAUCUUGGAGAUUCUUCCAUAGCUGUGGAUAAGGAGUUGCCUCAUUCUUUUUCAGGGUAAGUUUAGUAUAAAGGGUGAUAUAGUGGGGAAAUUAUAUUUAAUUUAUUUUUGCCAACUCAGUAGCAGAGCUGUGACAAGAUUAAUCCUUAGAUUUUUGGAGGUUCAUAUCAAAUCAUUCAAAGCUUUGACAUUUUUCUCUUCUUUGUGGCUCUAUUUUCAUCACUAAAAUUCCCCAUCCUAUGCCCCUGCAGCCCCCAUCUGACGUUUGUCACUUCUCUAGCUUAGUCAUCUGAUCUAAUUUUGAUGAGUCAGAUGUAAAUAAACCCAGAUAAUGUGUCUUUUAGCCCAAAAGACUAAAAGAUAAAAUAAAAGGAAAUGCAUAGGACACAGGGCAGUUUGUUGAAUGGCUGAGAUUUGAAUAUGUGUGUAUUAAUUCUUUCUGAAUUACAGCUAGAUUCUGCCCUCCCCAGCUUUGUAUCUGGAGACGAGGGAAAAUGUGAUCCCAGUUCAUAUUAUGAGUGAACAUCUCUGACUGUUCUAAGAAGUCCUAUUCCCUUAGAUUACUGAAGUUCACAGGGAGAAAGCACCCACCCAGAUAUUUUUGGUUUUUGUUUGUUUGUUUGUUUGUUGAGAUGGAGUCUCACUCUAUUGCCCAGGCUAGAGUGCAACGGUAUGGUCUUGGCUCGCUGAAACCUUUGCCUCCUGGUUCAAGCGAUUCUCCUACCUCAACCUCCCAAGUAGCUAAGAUUUCAGACAUAAGCCACCAUGCCCAGCUAAUUUUUGUGUUUUUAGUACAGACAGGGUUUCACCACAUUGUUCAGGCUGGGCUUGAACUCCUGACCUCAGGCGAUCCACCCGCCUCAGCCUCCCGAAGUGCUGGGAUUACAGGCAUGAGCCACCGCACCUGGCCUCACCCAGAUAUUUUUCAAAUACCAUUUUCGAUUCCCACUCUCUUUCUUGAAGUAAGCAAGGCAGACACAUUUGCCAAGGAUAACUGAGAAUGUAAGGGCAAUCCAUGACUGGGCAGCUUGUGCAGGCUGUGUGCUAAAUGCACUGGGAAACAUGCCCUAUAAAUAGCCGUUCAUUGUCAGCAUGUGUGAAAAGACAAGAGAGCAUUCCGUGCUAUGAUUCAGGCCUAAUUAAGUGAUUGCGUCUGGGCACGGCUAUAAACCACUAGCUGCUUCAACUGGUAAUCCAGUCAGUAGGCAACUGCAGGGGCUCGCCACUGACUGAAGGCAGUGGAAGGUUGGCAGAAGGAGGCUGUUCAAGGCUGUUUUUGCCUUCACUAUGGCAAAAAUCAUUUUGAGGCACCUCAUAGAGAUUCCAGUGCGUUACCAGGAAGAGUUUGAAGCUCGAGGUCUAGAAGACUGCAGGCUGGAUCAUGCUUUAUAUGCACUGCCUGGGCCAACCAUCGUGGACUCAGCGGCAGAGACGCCACCCCGAGAAGGCAAAUCCCACUUUCAGAUCCUGCUGGACGUGGUCCAGUUCCUCCCUGAAGACAUCAUCAUUCAGACCUUCGAAGGCUGGCUGCUGAUAAAAGCACAACACGGAACCAGAAUGGAUGAGCACGGUUUUAUCUCAAGAAGCUUCACCCGACAGUACAAACUACCAGAUGGUGUGGAAAUCAAAGAUUUGUCUGCAGUCCUCUGUCAUGAUGGAAUUUUGGUGGUGGAAGUAAAGGAUCCAGUUGGGACUAAGUGACAUCGUAUCGGUUCCUGUUCAGAUGACAUGGGGAAGAUGAUGGUUCAGCCACUGGUACUACGAGAAUGUUUGUAUUACCCACAUUUGAAAUGAUUUGCUAUGAUUUUUAUGAAGAUUAAAAAUAUAUACACAGUUCCUGGUAUGUUGAGGUUGUCUUUAUUAUUCUUACUCAGAAAGGAAAAUUUGUAAAUAUGUUUGUGUGGCUCAAACUGAUACUAUUCUUACAACUGAAACAUUGAAAAUACAGAAGGCUGUAUUUGGAUAUUAGAGAGGACUCCGAAUUGUUUCUUAUUAUUCCAACAAUGCCAGCUGCAUUUGUAAUCACUGAUGGCAAAAGAGCUAUACCCAUUUAAGGAAUUCCUAUCCAUUUUAUGAAAAUCUUUUAUUUUGCCAAAAAGAGUUGUGAUUCCCUUCACUCGAUAAGCUUUUCUUUUUAAUGUAUUUUAAUUAAAAUGAGGUUUUAUAAAUAUGGAGUGCAAAAAUUAAAAUACAGUAUUUGGAAAUUGGGUCUGAUAUCUAUUUAUGAUUUAGUAUAGUUGUUACUGCCUUAAAGGUCAAUGGGAAUUUUCAGAUAUAAAUCUUAUUUUUAAAAAGUUCAAAUAUGUACCUCAUUCAUCUUUUUAAAGAUAUACUGAAUCCUAUCUGAAGUGUUUUGACUUUUUAAAGAUAGUAUAAGUUCUAUGGACACGUACAAAAUGUUCAUGAGAUAUGUAUUUACAUAUCCUCUUGUAAAUUAAUAUGAAGCUUAAGGACACCACUUUUAAAAGUUUGAUUGCUGAAUUCAGUGAGUUUUAAUCUGUGCUUUUUAGAUGCUCCAUAAACUUAGAUGGCAAAAUGUAACACAUCUGCUAUCUCUGCAUAAUCCUUAGCUUUAAAUAGCCUGGCAGCCAAUGGAAGUUCAACACCUGAGCUUACACUGCGUGUCUGAGUUUACACAGCACAUCUGAUGAUUGGUGCUUAUUAUAUUCUCCCAAACUACUGCCUUGGCUCAAGGUGGAGACAUUGGUAGAGGUUAAGGACUAGUGCCUUCAACAGCUGCUCUGGGACAUUCCAAAGGUUUGCUAUCUCAUUCUGUAUACAUUAAGUAUUUCUUCAGAGGCAGUGGCUGCCUGCCUUUUACCCCGCACUGAAUGUGAGCUGACAAGCAGCCCAAGGACAGUGCUAAGAAUAGACAUGGAAUGCAGGGUGUGGAAAACACCAGGGCAAAUGCAGAUUGCUGACAGUAUCCCAGUACUCCCCCACGUUGUUUUACUGUAGCUCAAGUUAAAAUGUAAAAGACAUGAAGCAAUAGAAAAACGAAUCAAACAGUUCUAAAAGUUAUUUUGAAAACAAAUGUAAUCUGAGAAGAAUGUUUACUGUCUAAUUAAAUUGAAAAGAUUUUGCAGUUAUAUGCAUAUCUGAGGUUUAUGCCUAUACAUGGAGGUUUGUGUGUCCAACUCAGAUAUGAAAAAUUUUGUUUGACCAAGUGAAUAUCACAGAUCAGCUUGGCUGCAUAACAAAGUUAAUAGCAGUCGUUGAGAUUCCAGAUCUACUAAUAUGAUCAGAACUGGGAUACCAUUUGUCUGGAUUAUCAUUCUUUCCCAGUGAUUGGCAGAAUAGUGUGAAAAGAAACUAAUGUGGUGAGAAACAAAAAAACCCUCUCUUUCGGCCUUGAUCUUACUCUAGAUGAGAUCCUCCUCCCGGGAAAAUUCAGGAGGUGAAAUUCCUACCAUGAGGAGCCACUGAUAGAAAAUAUUCUCUUUAAAAAUAAAAUUAAAGUAAACACAUGUCUAAUGAGCUCUUGUUUUUACAAGAUAAAUUUUAAAGUCUUAUAGAUAAGAUAUAGAUAAGUUUUAAAGAUAAAUUUUAAAGUCUUAUAGCCAUUUUUUUGAUUUGGGAAAUAUACCAAACACUAUAAAUAAUAAAAAUCAUCUAUGGUUCUUCUGCUACCAUGAGGCAGCUAUUUUAAAUAUCUUGUUCAACAACAGGACUACAUAAAUACAUGUAUCACUUUUCACAAAAUUAGGAUUAUAUCUGUAUGGAGUUUGAUAUCCUGAUUGUACUGGCUACUGUCUGUUGCCCUCCCCACUCCCACCAAGUCAAACCAUUCUCUGCCCUUCUCAGCCCCACUCUGAGCCCAAGCAGGCUGACCCUGAUGGGCCACAUCAUUCUAGUUUCUGGUUGGGUUCAGCCAAUAAGAGGCACUGACUGGAGACCAGAGAUUGCAGAGAGAUUAGUGGGCAAGAGGGGAGAAUGGUCAGGGAAUUCUUCUGUCGCCCUUAACCUGCUGCAGACCAAGGCCCUGUCAGGGCUGCAUCCUUCUAUGACUGAGUUCCUCCAGGGCUGCCACUCUCACAGGGCUUAGGGUUGUAACACUGUCUCUUCCUUUCGUCUGUUCAAAAGGAGGAGGAGGGGUGACUCUCUGCUCUUUCUUGUACCCUGUGUGUCACUAUCCCUUAUUGAUUCUCCUUACUUUGCCCACUCUCUCAUAAAUGGUCCUUUAGGCAAUGGAAUUGUUUUCUGCCAGAACUCUGAUUGUUUGACCUUUUAAUCAAUUGCAGAGUAAAUGCAUGUGAUAGCAAACAUUUAAGCAUACCUUUAGAAAGACCCAGUACGGUAGAUGUACCUGAAUGUGUGUUUCAAGUUAGGCAAUCUGUGCAUGGCCAACCUGGAGAUUCGUUUUUUUAUCUAUACAUCUGAGCCCCCACCCAGCCUGUUCCAUGGAAUAUGUGCCGUACAGGAGAUUGAGGCCUUGAGUUUUGAGUUAAAUGAUGGUUGCCAGGUGGAGUUCUUUCGAUGGAGGGUGUUAAGUGAAAGUGCUGUAGAAACUGCAUAAUGUUUGCAAGCAGUUGUGUUCUCCCAGCCAGCCUGCCGCUACUGGACUCUCUCUUCUGUAUUAACCCCCUAAUAAAACACCGCAUUUCAUCUGCUGGCUCUGGGUCUCUUCUUUGGCCUCUUUAACCUGGUGCUUUCCCUAUUGGGGUUGAUAGGUGUUCAUCGCAACAGUGACUUUUUAAAAAUUAGUGCAUCGCUUUCUUUUUCUACCAAACAAGAACUGAUUUGUAAUGGCUAUUCACUGUUCCAACAAAGCUUAAUUGUAUUAGCAUUUAACCAUUUCUUUUCAUUCUUGGUUCCAGUAGGAAACAGUUGGACCCUAUCAAAUUGGAAAAAUUCAAGAAGGGUUUAUUUAUAAAGAGACAUUACAGGCUGGGCAUUGCGGCUCACGCCUGUAAUCCCAUCAGUUUGGGAGGCCAAGAUGGGUGGAUCACUUCAGGUCAGGAGUUCAAGACCAGCUUGACCAACAUGGUGAAUCCCAGUCUCUACUAAAAAUACAAAAAUUAGCUGGGCAUGGUGGCACGUGCCUGUAGUCCCAGCUACUAGGGAGGCUGAGGCAGGAGAAUUGCUUGAACCUUGGAGGCAGAGGUUGCAGUGAGCCAAGAUGGCACCACUGCGCUCCAGCCUGGGUAACAGAGUGCGACUGUCUCAAAAAACAAAACAAAACAAAAAUAAAAAACAAGAGAGAGAGAAACAUUACAAAGGAGUGGGGAGGGCAUAGAGGCACUGCAAAGGAAAGCGGAGUAAUCUGACGUUCAGUGUGGAGUUGUUACGUCCCCCAGGUCCAAAGGGAUGGGAGGAGGAAGCAGGUCUCAGAAAUCAAAAGGAAAGUCGCAUAGAGGAGACUACCAGCUGUGACUUUCAUCUGAGGGCAUGACCAGUCCAAGGAGACCUCUUACAGGGAGGGAGCCAGGAGAACAAAUACUUCCUCCUUCCCAUCUCCUGCUAGGGUCCCCCAUUGGCUGGAUCUGACUGGAGGCCAGAGGGCAUGGGAGUCCUGUCAUCUAGUUCAACGGCCCCCCAGGGCAAAGGGCAGGAUGGAGAAAAGUGAGGAUGACCCUCAGGGGCAGGAGGAUAAUAUCCAGUACUCCAAUCAAAUGAGUCCUAUUGUCAGAGUUCUCUGUUAGAAAGUCUCUUUCUACAAAGUAAAGCUUGGGAUGAGGAUGGGAUGAGGAAGAGCUGACACUUUAUUUGGAAAGUGUCAAGCCCAGGAUAGUAAAGAUGAGGAAAUAGGGGAAAUGAGACAAGGAAAAACUGGGGAGCUAAGAUGGUGUGAUUAGGGGAUGUGUCACUGUGCUGACCACCACGCCACAGGGAGCUGUGAAGAGGCUCAGCAUGUCUGUGGGCAGGGAUGUUGGCUCAGCACAGGGAAUCGCUCCAUGGAGAAGUUUUCUUCAGGGAGAAACAAAUCUUAAAGAAGUCCCCAGGAAAAUCAAGGGGAGAGAGGGAAUUUGCUCACCUUAUUCUCUACAAUAUCCCAUCUCCUAUUAGUCAAGGUUCAGCUCACAGGGGAUAAACUUUCCUGUACUUCUGGGUUCUAUCAUUCAAUGCCUUGUUGGAAACCAGACCCUGAUGAUGUGACAUUUCAUCCAAGCUGGGAGCAGAAGAAUGACAGCAUGAUUAGGAGCAGAAGAAUGACUCAGCAUGAGUAGGGCUCAAGGCUUCAGUCAGUGGACUCUUGCUGCCUUGGAAGCCUGGCAAAACUGCUGGCAAAAGUGGCAGCAGCAUGGUCUGGGAGGCAGGCGAUGCCUUCAGAAACAAGGUGUCAGUCAAAAAGAUAUGCAAGGUUUGUAUCCAGUAAACCUUAAAUACAAAACUGCAGGAAGAGAAUGCCAGGCAGAUCAGACAGUCUUAUAUCAUCUACUGCUCUGCAACCUACACUGCCUUCAGAUUUUAUGGACCCUAAUGUCACUUUAUAUUUUGAUCUAAUUUUUAAUCCACUUAGGUGCAAAGUUAGUCCUCUUAAACAUCUCCAGGAUUUUUCUUUUUCUGUAAAUUGUGGACCAAGGUUGUGUGUUUAUUAUUUAAAGCUGUCUGCCAGAAAGCUAGAAGUCAAUGAAGAUUUUCAAGAUUUUUGUUCUCAGUGAUCUCUCCAAGUCCAAACUGCACUGAGGUAUCAGGGAACCUGCCCCAAUAUUCAUGUAGGUUCUUUUCCAUUUUCCUUAAGUGUCAGCCAGCUUGAAAAAUAAAGGGACAGAGUACAAAAGACAGAAAUUUUAAAGCUGGGCGUCCGGGGGAGACAUCACAUGUCGGUAGGUUCUGUGAUGCCCCACACGCCGCAAAAACCAGCAAGCUUUUGUUAGGGAUUUUCAAAAGGGGAGGGAGUGUGCGAAUAGGUGUGGGUCACAGACAUCAAGUACUUUACAAGGUAAUAGACUAUCACAAGGCAAGUGGAAGCAGGGCGAGAUCACAGGACCACAGGACUGAGGCGAAAUUAAAAUUGCUAAUGAAGUUUCAGGCACCAUUGUCGUUGAUAACAUCUUAUCAGGAGACAGGGUUUUUGAGAUCAACGGGUCUGACCAAAAUUUAUUAGGCGGGAAUUUCCUCUUCCUAAUAAAUCUGGGAGUGCUAUGGGAGACUGGGGUCUAUUUCAUCCCUGCAGUCUCAACCCUAAGAGAUGGCUACGCCCAGGGUGGCCAUUCAUAGGCCUACCCUCAGGCGUGCAUUCUCUUUCUCAGGGUUGUUCCUUGCUGAGAAAAAGAAUUCAGUGAUAUUUCUCCCAUUUGCUUUUGAAAGAAGAGAAAUAUGGCUCUGUUCUACCUGGCUCACCAGCAGUCAGAGUUUAAGGUUAUCUCUCUUAUUCCCUGAACAAUUGCUGUUAUCCUGUUCUUUUUUCAAGGUGCCCAGAUUUCAUAUUGCUCAAACACACAUGCUGUACAAUUUGUGCAGUUAAUGCAAUUAUUACAGGGUACUGAGAUGACAUACAUCCUCCUCAGCUGACAGGAUUAAGAGUUAAACUAAAGACAGGCAUAGGAAAUCACAAGGGUAUUGAUUGGGGAAGUGAUAAGUCUCCAUGAAAUCUUUAUGUUUAGAGGUUGCAGUAAAGACAGGCAUAAGAAAUUAUAACAGUAUUAAUUUGGGGAACUAAUAAAUGUCCAUGAAAUCUUCACAAUCCACGUUCUUCUGCCAUGGCUUCAGCCGGUCCCUCCGUUUGGGGUCCCUGACUUCCUACAACACUGAGGUCCCCCACUUGUCCUUGGCCUAUUUUUCUCACCUACUUGUCCUUCAAGGUAGAGACACAGUCCUGGAAAUCUUAUUUGGAAAACGAAACAUCAAAAACAGAAGAAACAACAUGCUUCCCAGCUAGCUCUCCUCAUUAUCCUUUCUGCCAUCACAGCAUACUGUGCCCCACACUAUGAGCAGCAUGCCAAAAGUGCCUGGUUCCUACCCAAAAUACUUCCUGAAAGAUGUCCAGCUAGUCCAAGGCUACUGUUAGCCACCAGCGCACUGACUGCAUUUGGCAAUCGCAUGCACUUACCAGGCACGCUGGCCCUUCUCAAAGAGCCACCUUGAAGGGUUUUGUUUGUUUGUUUUGUUUUUUUGCCUGAGUGUCUCCUGUUUGCCCACUGUGUGCAAUUGUGUUUGGACCACGUCUUUUAGCAUUUUCUGAUAUUGGGAAGACAGUACAGUGUUAUGAAAGACUGAGAACUUCAACUGGAGUUCCACAGGUUUUUCUUUCAUGAAACAUUGCUUUAACACAAUCCUAUUCAAUUUCCAUACUUACCAUGAAACCCCAAACGAGAAAAAUGUAUGGAGGUCUUGCUUUACAGUAGGGUGUUACUCAGUAAGUUACAAAACACAUCUUGGCUGUAACCCUUUGCUGGGAGGCGAUGAGGCUCUGGAUAUGAGGAAGGAAAAUGGCCAGUAUCAGGGAUAUGGACAAUGCUUUCUUCCUUAAUUCCUGAUUCUCCUAAGCUUUUGCUAUAGGCAUAGCCUCUUGUCCCUGGAAUGGAUUACCUAAGUGUACACUUGUCACUGUUGAAAAUGUUAUAUGGAUGGGGACAGGAGGUGGGGUUGGAAGCAUCAUAUAUGGAAGCCCUAUGCUUAAAAAUAUGUAAUGGGAUCAUGUAUGGUCAGUCUAUGUAGAGAUUGCUAACAAGUGAUCAAAAAAAUCAGUGGAUUGGGUCUUGUGUUUGUCCCUAUUGAUGUGAUUAUCUGAAAGUUGAUCUGUUAAGGACCUUAGCAAGUCAAAAAGUUAUUUUCAUUUAUUUUUUAUUUUAUUUUAUUUUUUUUUGAGAUGGAGUCUCGCUUUGUCACCCAGGCUAGAGUGCAAUGGUGUGAUCUCAGCUCACUGCAACCUCUGCCUCCUGGGUUCCUGGGACUACAGGCGUGUGCCACCACGCCCUGUAGCACAAAUUUUUUUUUUGUAUUUUUAGUAGAGACGGGGUUUCACCGUGUUAGCCAGGACAGUCUCGAUCUCCUGACCUCGUAAUCCACCCACCUCGGCCUCCCGAAGUGCUGGGAUUACAGGUGUGAGCUACUGCGCCCAGCCAAAAAGUUAUUUUAGAAAACAUAUGAGGCAAGGAAAAUAAAAUGAGAAAAAACUGGGAAGCCAACUUGGUGUGAUGAUGGGAUGUGUUACUGUGCUGGUUACCAUGUCACAGGGAGCUGUGAAGAGGCUCGGCAGGUCUGUGGGCAGGGAUGCUGGCUCAGCACAUGGAACCGUUCCAUGGAGAAAUUCUCUUCAGGGAGAAACAAAUCUUAAAGAAGUCUUAGCCAGUUGCUAGGCUCAUGCCUGUAAUCUGAGCACUUUGGGAGGCUGAGGUGGGAGGAUCACUUGAGCUCAGGAGUUCCAGACAAGCCUUGGCAACAUGACGAGACUCCAUCUCUACAAAAAGAACAAAAAUAAGCCAUGAGUGGUGGCACGUGCCUGUAGUCUCAGCUACUCUGCAGGCUGAGGCGGGAGGAUAGCUUGAGCCUGGGAGGGUGAGGCUGCAGUACAGUCUAGGCAACAGAACAAGACCUUGUCUCAAAACAACAACAACAAAGAAAACCCAAGAAAAUAAAAAACAAAAACAAAAAAGUCCCCCAGGAAAAUUAAGGGAAUAGAGGGAAUUUAGCAUACAACCUCAAAUUUUUAAAAACCCAUGAUUUCCACUAGUUUAACAAAAAUACUUUUUACUAAUGAUCAUAGUUCUCUUCAGAGUCUGUCAAAUAAUUAGUCACAAAGAAGAAUUAAAAAUUAAAAUGUUGGUUUGGUACAGCUCUUAUAUUACAUUUUGAAAAUAAUUUUAUUUAGUGGUUGAGUGGGCCGGAUCCCACCUCCACCCCUGACCCCCCGCAAAAUAAGAGAGGUAGUAUUUUUAAUUUGAAAAGCAAAUGAUUCAAACUGCUGUUUACAUUUCCUGUGUUGUUUAAUACACAGUGUGUGUGUGUAUAUAAAAAUAUAAUCCUGUUUAUUAAUGUUUUCUAACCUCAAGGAAAUACAAAGAAUGUGCAAUGUGGUAAGAUCAAAUGAUCUGUAUGAUACCAUUCUUUGUAAUGUGUUGUUCAAAUAUUCUAUGUUCUUCCCUUUUUUCCCCUGAUACUAGAAAACAUAUAGAUUGUUGUCUUCGAAUCUCUCAAAAUUGGAGAUUCGAAAUUGGAAAAAAGGCAGUUUUCCAUUUUUAAAAAAAGUUCUGGCCCAUUUUUUACUUUGUGUAUUUUUAGAUUAUGUUGUUAUACUUUUAAGUUUGUUGUAUAAACUUAUAUAACUUUCCUAAUUGUAAGUUUAAAAUUGUAAUUUUUUUCUAUCGAAUUGUUUCUUAUAUUAUUAUGUAGGCCCACUUUUUAUCCCUAUUUAAUGCUUUUAGCCUUAAAUUCUAUUUUGCCUGAAAAAUACCACGUUUUUAUUAUUUACAUGGCAACUCUUGUUCUUUUAUAUUCAAUAUAUUGAAUACACUACAGUAUUUAAAUGUGUCUCUUAAAAGCAGUAGCAUAUAGCUGAAUUUUUAAAAAUGCAGUCUGAUCAUCUGUCUUUUAGUAGAUAAGUUUAAUCCAUUUACUUAUUGGAAUUAAAUAUUUGAAUUUAUUUCUUAUUUCAUAUUUCUGUUUAUCAUGCUUUUCUUUGCUUUUUUCCCUUUCAGAUUUUCGGUUUACUUCUUUGUUUUUUCUACUGAUCUUUAAGAUGUUAAAACUUAAACACUGCCUGAAAAUUUAUAGGCUAAUAUACAUUUUUGAAGGAAAAUAAUACAAGUAUAAAAAUUUAAACAUUUUCUUUGUCUUUUUUUUUUUGAGACAGAGUCUCACCAGGGUGGAGUACAGUGGUGCAAUCCCGGCUCACUGCAACCUCCGCCUCCCAGGUUCAAGCAAUUCUUUUGCCUCAGCCUCCCUAGUAGCUGGGACUACAGGCAUGCACCACCAUGCCUGGCUAAUUUUUUGUAUUUUGAGUAGAGACAGCAUUUCACCAUGUUGGCCAGGCUGGUCUCGAACUCCUGACCCCAGGUGAUCUACCCGCCUCAGCCUCCUAAAGUGCUGGGAUUGCAGGCGUGAGCCACCGCACCCCACCAAAAAAACUGUCAAUAUCCUUCUCCUGAUUGUGACUAGGUCAUUUGUGUCCUUACUACCCACUGAAUACUGUCCUCCAUCUUGUUGCUAUUCUUAAUUUUACUUUUAGACUGGGCUCAAUGGCUCACGCCCAUAAUCCUAGCACUUUGGGAAGCCAAGGUGGGAAGACAGCUUGAGGCCAGGAGUUCAAGACCAACCUGGCCAACAAUAGUGAGACCCCACCUCUUAUUUAUUUAAAACAUUUUUAAAAUUAAAUUUAGUUUUGGGCUGGGCACGGUGGCUCACACCUGUAAUCCCAGCACUUUGGGAGACUGAGUGGGGAAGAUUGCUUGAGCCCAGAAGUUCAAGACCAGCCUGGGCAACAAAAUGAGAACCCUGUCUCUACAAAAAAAGAGGAAAAAAAAAAUCAAAAAUGAGAUGGGAGGAUUGCUUGAGCCACAAGGUCAAGACUGCAGUGAACUGUGAUCGUGCCACUGCACUCCAACCUGGGUGACAGAACAAGACCCUGCCGGAAAAAAAAAAAAGUUUUACCUUUAAAUAUUGACUGUUAAAAUCCUACUAUUGGCCGGGCAUGGUGGCUUAUGCCUGUAAUCCCAGCACUUUGGGAGGCUGAGUCGGGCAGAUCACCUGAGGUCAGGAGUUCGAGACCAGCCUGGCCAACAUGUCAAAACCCCGUAUCUACUAAAACUACAAAAAAUUAGCCGGGCAUGGUGGUGUGUGCCUGUAGUCCCACCCACUAAGGAGGCUGAGGCAGGAGAAGGAGAAUCGCUUGAACCCAGGAGGAGGAGGUUUCAGUAAGCCGAGGUCAUGCCAUUGCACUCCAGCCUGGGUGACAGAGCGAGACUCCAUCUCAAAAAGAAAAAAAAAAAUCCUACUAUUAAAAGAAAAUGUAUGAAUUUCUGUGCUCACCUUUGUUUCUUGUUUUCCACAGCUGAACUUUGGGUUCCUAUCUCUUCCGGUUAAGGUUUCUAGUUAUUUUGAGGCUCUGUAGGUGAAAACUGUCUUUACAUUGCUUCACUCUUGAAUGAUAUUUAGCAAGGUAUAAAAUUCUAGAUGAAUGGUAAUUUUUACCUCAACACUGUAAUUAUUCUGUUGUCCUCUCCACUUAGAGUGGAGUUCUUAUUAGCAGCAACAUAAUCGUUCCUUUGUAUAUAAUCUGUUUUCUCUGGUAGUCUCAGAUAUUUUCUCUGUGAUGUUCUGUGGUUUCACUGUGAUUUGUCUGGGCUUGGAUCUGGAUUUGUUUGUGCUGCUUAAUAUGCAGUCUGAACAAAUAUCUUUUUUUAAAGGUCUGGACAUUUCAUGGCUAUUUCUUCUUCACAUGCUCUCCACAAAGGCUCCAUUCCCUUCAGUUAGAACUAUUACUAUAUAUAGAUUGAAGCCUCUCAAAAGCCCUUGGUCUUUCUGUGCUCUAUUUCUAGCUGAAUUCCUCAGUCCUUUCGUUCUUUCUUUCCUUUUGAAAUAUGCCAUACAUAUAGAAAAACUUAAUUAUUAUUGUUCAUAUGUUUUUUUAAAAGAUCAUCCAUGUAAUAAAUCACCCAGCAUAAGAAAUCGGUCACUGACAGCACCCAGAGGCUACUCUCCUUCCAGAGGCAACCACCAUCCUGUCCUAUGUGAUGAUUAAGAAAAGAUAAAAAUGUUACUACAUGUAUUUGCAUCUCUAAUCAAUGUAGUUUAGUUUUUACUUGUUUAAACUUUAUAUAACUGGAAGUAUAGCCUAUGUAUUUUUUGUGACUUACUUCCUUUACUCAAGAUUGCUUUAGCGCCAUCCACAGAGAACAGUACUCUGUUCAUUUUUAUUGAUGUAUAUAGUUCAUUGAAUAAAUGCACCAAUCUGUGAAUUCUAUUGAUAAUAGUCAUUCCUUUAUGAUAUUAAAAUAUAUUUUGUUUUUAUAGAGGCAGGGUCUCCCUGUGUUCCCCAGGCUGGUCUCAAACUCCUGGGCUCAAGGGAUCCCCCUACCUUUUCUCCCAAAGUGCUAGGUUUACAGGCAUGAGCCACCAUACCGGGGCGAUAAUAGAUAUUCUCUUUUAAACAUUAAAAAAUAAUUUGUUAAAGAUGGGGUCUUAAGCUAGGUGUGGUCGCUCAUGCCUGUAUUCCCAGCACUUUGUGAGGCCAAGGUGGGUGGAUCACUUGAGGCCAAGUGUUCAAAACCAGCCCAGCCAACAUGGCAAAACACUAUCUCUACUAAAAAUACAAAAAACUAGCCAGGCACAUUCCUGUAGUCCCAGCUACUCAGGAGACAUGAGAAUCGCUUGAGCCUGGGAGGCAGAGGUUGUAGUGAUCUGAGAUUGCACCAGUGCACUCCAGCCUGAUUAAUAGAAAAAAAAAAAAAAAAAAGACAGGAUCUUGCUCUGUUGUUCAGGCUUGGGUGCAGUGGUGUGAUCAUAGCUCACUGCAGCCUUGAACUCCUGGGCCCAAGUGAUCCUCCCAUCUCAGCUUCCUGAGUAACUAGGACUACAGGUACAUGUCACAAUGCCCAGCUAAUCUUUUAAUUUUUUUUGUAGAGACAGUCUUGCUUUGCUGCCCAGGCUGGUCUCAAACUCCUGGCUUCAAACGAUCCUCCCGCCUCAGCCUCCCAAAGUGUUGGGAUUAUAGGCAUAAGCUUUCAUGCUCAAACAAUAAUAGACAUUUUUUAUUAAUUUAGAGCUAUAGAACAAUACCACUAUGAAUAUUUUUGUACAUGUCUAUUGGCUUCCGGAUGCAGGAAUUUCUUUCUUUUUUUAGAAGCAAAGUCAGUGUUGCCCAGGCUGGAUUCAAACUCCUUGGCUCAAGCGAUCCUCCAACCUCAGCCUCCCUAGUAGCUUGGAUUAGACAUGUGCCACUUCACCUGGCUAAUGUGCAGGAAUUUCUUUAAGGUAUAUACCUAAGAAUAAAACUGAUGAAGUAUUGAGUGUGGCCACCUUCCAUUUAAUAAAUCAUACCAGCGUUUUCCAAUGUGAUUUAACAAUUUAUGUUACCGUUAGAAUUAUAUGAGGGUUUGAAAUUAUCCUAAAUCCUCAUCAAACCUUAGCAUACUCAGGCUUAAAUUUUUGCCAGUCUAAUUGUCUUCAUCUGUAUGUGCUGCUAUAAUGGAACACUUGAGACUGGCUAAUUUAUGAAACACAGAAAUUUAUCUUUUAUAAUUCUGGAAGCUGGGAAGUCCAAGAUCAAGGAACUGGCAUCUGGUGAGGGCCUUCUUACUGUUUUCUCACAUAGUGAAAGGCAAAUGUGCAAGAGAUAACAAACAACACUCUCUGUCAAGUUCUUAUAUAAGGACCCCUAAUUCCAUUCAUGAGGGAGGUGCCCUUGUGGCCUAAUCACCCCUUAAAGGCCCAUCUCUUUGUACUAUGAGAUUGGCAACACCUGAAUUUUGGAGAGGACCCAUUCAAACCAUAGCACUGUAUAAUGUAAAGCACAGAGAGAUACGAAGUCUCAUUUUUACCAUGUUACUGAGUUUAUCUCAUGUGUGUUCUCAAUGGCUAUGGUUUUAAUUACAUUUUUUAUCAAACUAUUCCUUUUUUCUUUUUUUGUGAUGGAGUUUCACUCUUGUCACCCAGGCUGGAUUGCAAUGGCAUGAUCUCGGCUCACUGCAACCUCCACCUCUGGGGUUGAAGCGAUUCUCCUGCCUCAGCCUCCCAAGUAGCUGAGAUUACAGAUGCCUACCACUAUGCCCAGCUAAUUUUUGUAUUUUUAGUAGAGACAGGGUUUCACCAUGUUGGCUGGACUGGUCUUGAACUCCUGACCUCAGGUGAUCCACUCACCUUGGCCUCCCAAAAUGCUGAGAUUAUAGGAGUAAGCCACUGCACCCAGCCUAUCAAACUAUUCUGCCUGCCAUUUCUUUCAUAAUUUCUUAUUCUUUUUAAAUAGACAUAAUUCUUUGAGCAUCCUAAACAUAAUUAUUUUCAAAGUCUUUAUUGGAUUGUUCUAUAUAUUAAUUUUAUCUGGAGAGAAUUCAAGUUCAAAGUAUGGACUAGUUUGAUUUUCUUAGCAUUAAGUUUUUUGAAGUACUUGGGAAUUUUGGUUUUCAGGCUUGUUUUGUGUGAAACAGUAGUUGUUGUUAUCUUCCCUCUAUCCCAUAAUCAACCUUCCCUAUCUAGAGGAUUUGCUGUUAACUUUGCUCUAGACUUUAACUUGAGGAUUUUAGAAAUCUCUGCCUCAAAGUGACCUUGUGAAUACUGCAGAUUCGGUCAUCAAACAAGCAUGAGGCUUGGUGAUUUUCUUCUUUCUUCUUAGAAAGCCUGCAAGUGGUUUCAGUUCCCUUUACUGGGCAGGAGGGUCUCCACACACCACAGCUCCCAGUCUCACAUGGUGAAUCUGUCUCCUGUCCUCUGAAUUCCUUGAUUCUCAUUACUUUUCAAGACCCAAAGUUCCCCUGUCACUGUCCAUUUCUGCCUGAAAGCCAGCAGGCACACGGUGUCAAUCCACUGCUUUCUGUUUCUGUUUUGUUUGAGUCUACAGAGCUGUUUAUCUUAUUUUUGAGACUGGCUAUGUCUUUUUGUUUUUUUCUGUUUUAUUUAUAAUCGCCAAGGGUUAUGGCAGUACAGUGUUCUACUAGAUUCUAAAUUUUCUCAUGAAAUAUGUCAAGUGAUGGGAUGGAAAGGAGAGAUUAGAUAUCUAGUAAAGAAUACAGUAAGUUCAAGCAUUGAUGAACCCCUCCUUUCUCAUUGCAAAUUGUCUCCCAUCGGUGGCAGCUGUGGCUAAAAUUAGCUGUUUUCCCUCCUUCCUCCCUCAUUUUCCAAUGCUUUAAAAAUAGAGUAAUGCAGCUGCAUUUAAGAUGCUUAAGACUUAACUUAUUUUUUCAGAACUCAUUUCAAACUUUUCUCAUUCCUGGAGCAGAUCAUUUGGACAAAAUGAUAUCUCAUUUUUGUUUUCAUUCUUUUGCAAUUACGUGCAUAUUUGAACUAAGUUCAUAAUGCACAUGAUUCACAAUGCAAAUGCAAACCACAUUUAGAAUCAAGAGACAGAAGAUAAAAGGUCUUUGGAAAUGUUGAUAGAACUCUUUUCUUUAAUAUUUCCAAAUAAGUAUAGAGGUGUGUUGGAAUAAAGAUGGCCAAACAUUUUUAGACUCCACCUCUAAUGACAAGAGUAGCAAUUUGCUCUCCCAUGGGGUGUAGACUGUCCUUGUGUCCCUCCUUGACCAGCAGAAUAAGAAGGAAGGGGCACUAUGUAACUUUUGAGGUUGGGUCUGAAGAAAUCUAAAGCUUUCCUAUUCACACUCUUCCAUACACUCCCUUUUAAAACCCAAGCUACAUGGUGAAACUCCUUGGAGAAGAACCAAAGCUCUCUCUGAGCUCUCUCAGCUAAGCUCCUAUCCAACAAGCAGUCCUAGCUAUUAGCUAUUUAAAUACCCCUCCUUGACAUUUCAGCCCAGGCAAGCCUCCAGAUGAGAUCAUAUGGGGCAGAAGGAAUGCCCAGCUGAGCCCAUUAUCACAGAGAAUUGUAAGAAAAUACAGAUUGUGGUUGUUUUAAGCCACUGAGUUUUGAGUGGUUUGCAUCAAAACAAGAGGAAAACGAAUUCUAGUGACUUUGGUAUCUUGCCAAAGCAAAAUUAUAUGGCUAAUUAUCAGAUAUUCCUAUGUUUAUCUUUCAAAAAAACUCCACCUCUUCUUGUACAAUCUAGUAAUAUAUAUUGAGUUCCUAUGUUAGGGAACUAAUUAGAAUUUGUACAUAUCUCUUAAUUGUACAUAUCACUUCAAAAUAUAUCUGAAUAAGAAACCUUUUUGUAUUUGACAGUUCCCCCAGUUUUCAAACCUAUUGAUUCCCUAUUAGUUUUUCACCAGAACUUUAGAAUACAUGGGAGCUGCUCUACUAAAUGUUAAAACAUAAUGUUACGGUAAUUAAAAUAAUGUUAACAUAAGAGUAAAUCAAUAGAACCAAGUAGGAGACACUGAUCAGAACCCCAUCACAUCCUAGAGUUUAGUUUGAUAAUAGUAGCAGUUGCAGUUGUAAUACAUGUUAACAUGAUUCUGAGAGAGGAGAAAGGAAGAAACUGGUCACGCAAGCAGUUAGGGUGAGUCUUCUGUUGAAUUGUUUCAAACAAAAGAACACCCCAAAACAUCAAGCUACCGGCACAGAUAAGGGAACUUGCAUGGGAGAUUGCCUAAGACAGGCCCACAGCCACACAGAUAAGAAAGGCUAUACAGCUCAGUUUCCCAGACAUGCCCACAAUGAAAAAUUUUGUCCCCUGACACAUGCACAGUAAGGGGAACAAAGCAAUAUGGAAUAACUCAAGCUAAGGGCCCCCGUGUGCACUAGGAGGAUGGGGUGGAGCUACCACAGAUUCACACCUUAUGCAAAUGAGAUGCCCAGCUCUCAUCAGUUUCCUAUAAAAUCCUCUGCAUUCAACUGUAAAAACAGCAACCCUCUUCCAGGUCCCCCCUGCACAGGAGAGAGCUUUCUUCUUUCACUUAUUAAACUUUUGCUCCAGUGUUACCCUUGGCACCUGUGCUCCUUAACUUUCUUGGUCGUGAGACGAAGAACUUUGGGUGAUAUGUCAGGCUAUGAGAGACUGCUACGUUGUGGUGUAUUGGUGAGACAUAACAAUUCAAUGUAUGUACCUAAGGUAACUGUAGACCUGUCUAGAAAAAUGAAAUUAAAAGCUCAUCCCUAUCAUAUAUAUCUCAAAAAGAAAAAUUCCAAAUGGACUAAAAAGUAAAUGUAAAAACAAACAAACAAAAAAGCUCUGCAUGUCUGCUGCGCUGGUUGUUCUCAUUCUUCCAUCCCCACCCCUGACCUCUGAUCUUCUCUGCCCUGUUCUGUGUUCUGGGGGUCUGUCCUCUGGCUUCAGGCUGGAUUCACUCAAUGGAAGGCACCAGCAAGAGAGCAGAGGGUGGAAGGAAAGGGGGAUUUAGGAAAUUUCUUCUCCAACUCUCAUUGCUUCAGGUCCAGGUUCUGGCAGGGGCUGCCUCCUGCAGUGGCUGCCUCUCUGAUGAGACUUUCUCUCCUGGCUGCAGCCCACACUGGGCAAGUAGUUCCAUUUUCUUUCCCUUAAUCCUUCAUGCUCUGGGGGGUAAUGGCAUCCCCUCUAUUACAGGUCUCUGGGUGUCUCACCAUUUUUGUUCAUCCUUCAGUCCUGCCCACAUCUCUAUAAAUAAUCACUUUAUUGUAUCUUUUUAAAAUCCAAGCUGAAUAUGCAUUUUGUUUCCCUUCGGUACUCAGGGUGAUAUAUCUACCUAUAUAUUCUUCUAGGGAAGACUUUUAAAACAAGCAAAAAGACAACAAAAAAAUAGCAAAACAUCAAAGGAAAUUUUAAAAAAAAAUUUUUUUUAUUUUUUUGAGACGGAGUCUUGCUCUGUCGCCCAGGCUGGAGUGCAGUGGCGCGAUCUCGGCUCACUGCAAGCUCCACCUCCCAGGUUCACGCCAUUCUCCUGCCUCAGCCUCCUGAGUAGCUGGGACUGCAGGCGCCCACCAUCAUGCCUGGCUAAUUUUUUGUAUUUUUAGUAGAGACGGGGUUUCACCAUGUUAGCCAGGAUGGUCUCAAUCUCCUGACCUCGUGAUCCACCCACCUCGGCCUCCCAAAUGCUGGGAUUACAGGCGUGAGCCACCAUGCCGGGCCUUUUUUUUUUUUUUUUGUCGAGACAGAGUCUUGCUCAGUCGCCCAGGCUGGAGUGCAGUGGUGCAAUCUCAACUCACUGCAGCCUCCGCCUCCCGGGUUCAAGUGAUUCUCUUGCCUCAACCUCUCCAGUAGCUGGAAUUACAGGCACACACCGCCAUGCCCAGCUUAUUUUUUUAUUUUUAGUAGAGACGGGGUUUUGCCAUGUUGGCCAGGGUGGUCUCGAACUCCUGACCUCAAGUGAUCCGCUGUGUCGGCCUCCCAAACUGCUGGGAUUGCAGGCAUGAGCCACCACGCCUGGCCACACCUGGUAAUUUUGAUCAGUUUGCUUAACCCCUCUAUGCCUCAGUUUCUUCAUCUGUAGAAUGGGGGUAAUUAUGGUACCAUCACAUACAGUUGUUUGGAAGACUAAAUGAGAUGAAGAUGUAGAGUGACCAACAAGCCUGGCUUGUCCAGGCCUGAGUGGUUUCUCAAAACACAAAACUUACAGUGCUAGAAUUGGGACAUCCCAGGCAAACUAGGAGAGUUGGUCACUCCAUAAGAUGUCAAGUACUCAGCACAAAGCGUGGUACAGAAUAUGAGUUCAAUAAAUAUUAGCCAUUAUUUUAUAUAUUUCAAAUAUGUAUUUGAGCAAAUUCCCAGUCAUGUUUUUUAUGUAGUUUAAUUAUGUACAUCUCUACCUUAUUUAAAGACUAAAACAUAAUUUUAAAAAAUAAAAUGCUUCAUUAGUGAAUCAAUAUCACUGUUCAUUUCUAACGUCUAUUUGGUUAUUUCUAAAAUUCUAUGAUUCUGUCUUUUUUGGUUUUCAUUUUGUUUUGUUUCUGAGACAGAGUCUCGCUCUGUUGCCCAGGCUGGAGUGCAGUGGUGCAAUCUUGGCUCACUGCAACCUCCACCUCCAGGGUUCAAGUGAUUCUCCUGCCUCAACCUCCCAAGUAGCUGGGAUUACAGGCACCCACCACCAUGCCCAGCUAAUUUUUGUAUUUUUAGUAGAGACGGGGUUUUGCCAUGUUAGCCAGGCUGGUCUCAAACUUGUGACCUCAAGUGAUCUGCCCACCUCAGCCUCCCAAAGUGCUGAGAUUACAUGUGUGAGCCACUGUGCCCCGCCAAUUCUUUUUGUUGAUUGCUCUGUCUCUGUCUUUGCAUGGCCACCUUCUCCCUGUCUGUCCCUGUGUCUUCACAAAGUGUUCUCUCCCUGUGUCUCUGUUUUCUUAUUAGGAUGCCAGUCACAUUGGAUUAAGGCCUACCUUAAUUGGGUGACCUCAUCUUAACUUUAUUACAUCUACAAAGGCCCUAUUUUCAAACAAAGUCAUAUUCAUAGGUACUCAGGAUUAGGAUUUCCAACAUACCUUUUUGGGGGACAUAAUUCAACCUGUAACACCGUGAAAGACCAGCUCAGUUUCUUAACAAGAUAAUUGGGUUAGAAUUCUUUACUUUUAAGGUACUGCCCAAGCAGCCUGAACUUCUCCAGAAGCUUAAUCUCAUGUUUAGCAUGUUGUCUCACAUGCUACACAUCUCUAAAGAUUUCCUCCAAACCAGUAUAAACUCAUGAAGAAAGACAAUGAGCCUCAAGUUAUUCUUUUUAAAAAAAUAAUAGCUUUAUCAAGAUAUAAUUUACAUACCAUAAUUUACCCAUUUGAAGUUUGCAAUUUGAUGGGUUUUAGUGUAUCUACAGAGGUGUACAAUAUCACCGCGAUCAAUUUCUGAACAUUUCUGUUGCCUCAAAAAGAAACCCUGGACCUACUAGCCAUCACUCCAUCUUUCUUCAACCUCCCCUGUCUCCCCUAUCCCCCAGUGGGCAACCACCAGUCUAUUUUCUGUCUCUCUGAAUUUCCCUAUUUUGGUCGUUUCAUAUAAAUGGAUUCAUAUAAUACAUGGCCUUGUAUGUUUGGCUCAGUUCAAGUUAUUCUUCUAUUUUAAAUGGGUGAAAGUCUGACAUGUGGGUGGGAUGAAUGAGUGGGAACCUUGCCCUGAAAAUCACUUGCACCUUGUAAUUAUUUCAACAUGGCCUCACAAAGAGUUAUCACAACGUCCCUGCAUUGCGUGGGCUUCAACAAGUGAUGAUGAUUGGGUUCCGCGUGUGUAGAUCAGCUCCUAUAAUUACAUCCAAUGUUGUAGAACAUGGGUGCUCUUCACCCCAAGGGCCAGCUGGUCCAUUCUGUUGUAGCAUCUCAUUGGCCAGGGCCUCCACCUCUCUUAAGGGGAGGAUGUGUCCACUCAGUGUCCAGCCUGGCAAAAGGUGCUCUGUAAUGUGCACUCCCAUCCUCCAUCCCCUCCACUACCACCCUAUAGGCCCGUUUCUUGUGCAGAUGGAUCCACAUUCUUCCACCAAUGAAGUGGUGUAUUUUCUUAUUUUGAUUUUUCUUUUUGUAUUUUUUUUCUUCCACAAAUGCCUACUUACCCUAAAGCUGUACAAACUGAAAAGGCCACUCAGGUCAUCUUUUAUAGGGCAAAGAAAAUCAAAUUCUAUCCCUCCUUAGUGGUAAAUAGAAAAGCAUGUGAGGCUACAAAACCAAACACUGGAAAUAGGACAAUUACUGAAUUCAACGAAAUUCCAUAUAUCAUUUAGACACUUCGUUAAUAUUUGUUAACUAUAGGACUUAACAAAAUUACAGAUAUCCCAAAGGAGCCAGACUAAAUAUAGGCUGACCUGGUAAUUUUCCAGCAGAUGAUAGUAUCACUCUCUUUGAGAGACAAGGGAAAAAUACAUUUAUACAAGUAAUAAUCAUUUUUAUCUGAUUUAUUCCUGUUCUUUUCUCCAAACAUUAUACAAUGCUAUGUUUUAUAAGUAACACGAAGAAAAAGAUGUACUGUUUGUUUCAGAAGGGACAUUUUGAAAGAAAAGAAAUCACCAUGUGUAGAAGGAUAUAUUUUAACAGGACUUCUUUAUUCCUUUCCAACUCACUGCUCAUCACCAUGGCAUGUAUACUCCUAUUUCUAUUUUUAUUCCCUUUAGGACUGUUCCUAGAUAUUUGUAACUAGUUCUCUAUACCUGUAAGUUUUCAUUUGCCCAGGGUUAUGUCUUCUUUUAUUUUGAUUUUUCUUCUUGUAUUUUCCUCUUCCACAGGUGUUCUUUCAUUCCUCCCUCCCCGCACCAUGCUUACUUUCUGUCAACCUACUUCUCUUUCCUUCAUUUUCUCUCUAGCAUUUACUUCCUUCCAGUUUUCUGAUCUAGAGUCUUCAGUGCUUGUGUUAUUUCUUGGCUGUAUGAUCUAGGAUCUGUUAUAGAGUGACCAACCAUCUGCUUAGCCCUACACUAAAACCCCUCAGUCCUGGGCCAACUAGGCUGGUUGAUCACUCUACUUAACAAGUUACCUGGGGAAAUAAUAUAUUGACACUAACGUAGAGAGGAUGAGUGACUGGAAUCAGUAGCAUCCUACUAUGUUGCUGUUGCUUUUUAGUGAAUAAUCAUUGGAAGAGAAUGCAAAUGCAAAAAAAAAAACAAAUAGGGGUUAUAACCGAUUAUUAGCAAGAUUCUGAUGAACUGAGGGACCACAGAAACUAAGUAUGUGAGUAAAACAGACUUUGAAGAUGAGUGUGAGAGACUGAGUUGGUCAUUAGAGCCAUCGGCUGUAAAGUUUGUGUGCAGCCUGAACCACUGUGUGCUGCACUCAGGAGAAAAUAGGAUGCCUUCUGCACUGAGGAGUUUGGCUUGGAUAAAAACCAUUGUACUGACAAUGUAGUCUACUCCAGAGUAACUGACAAAACAGGGGGAGACAUUGAGGACAUAACAACAUGGCUCUUCCUUCUCCUGAGAAGCAUUGUCAAAGCUGAGUAGUUGCACCAGUUUGAGUUACAGCAUUGGGGAAUUCCCCCAGAAGCUGAGUGGGAGCUCUACCCGGGGCUCAGUCUGUGGCUGUCACUUGUCUUCUUGCACAGAGCUUACUUAUGAGGGAAGUAAGGGGCUAUAAUCCUUGGAAAACACAGGCUUCACUACCCUUUUCAUUCGACCAUUAAAAGGACCAUUCCUCUUUGGAUGUGGAGAAAUAGGAACACUUUUACACUGUUGGUGGGACUGUAAACCAGUUCAACCAUUGUGGAAGACACUGUGGCAAUUCCUCAAGGAUCUAGAACUAGAAAUACCAUUUGACCAAGCGAUCCCAUUACUGGGUAUAUACCCAAAGGAUUAUAAAUCAUGCUGCUACAAAGACACAUGCACAUGUAUGUUUAUUGCAGCACUAUUCACAAUAGCAAAGACUUGGAACCAACCCAAAUGUCCAUCAAUGAUAGACUGCAUUAAGAAAAUGUGGCACCUAUACACGAUGAAAUACUAUGCAGCCAUAAAAAAGGAUGAGUUCAUGUCCUUCGUAGGGACAUGGAUGAAGCUGGAAACCAUCAUUCUGAGCAAACUAUUGCAAGGACAGAAAACCAAACAUCGCAUAUUCUCACUCAUAGGUGGGAAUUGAACAAUGAGAACACUUGGACACAGGGUGGGGAACAUCACACACUGGGGCCUGUUGGGUGGGGGGAAAGGGGGAGGGAUAGCAUUAGGCAAAAUACCUAAUGUAAAUGACUAGUUAAUGGGUGCAGCACACCAACAUGGCAUAUGUAUACAUAUGUAACAAACCUGCACGUUGUGCACAUGUACCCUAGAACUUGAAGUAUAAUAAUAAAAAAAAAUAAAAAAUAAAAUAAAAUAAAAGGACUAUUCCUCUUUCAUCUUCAGAUUGUCUUUGGACAUGCCAAUCUCCUUGGUAAGAGGUGAUGCUAUAAUAUAAGUAAUCCCUGCUAAGAUGUUAUUAGGCCAGACCCCUAUUGACUGCAAUAAAGAUAACACCAUGUCCUGGAGACCAAAAAAAGAGACCAAGAGACAGUGAAUGAGAUAUAGUGCUUAUAUAGGGGAAUUACAUACAGGAAUGGUCCAGUUGUGGUGGGCUGGACCGGAAAACUACUACCAUGUGUAAAAAGCAUGCAGCUUCCAUAGCAUUUUCACUUAGUACCCUCUACCUAGCAACCUCCAGUUUGCAACCUCCAGGUAACCCAAAACAAAGGGCCUCCAUCUCCUGUAUGGCCUGCAUUCCAAGGGAAGGGCUAGGGGUUGAGAUGCCCUUCAUGGAUAAGGAGUGAAUCUCUAGGUUGGCCACUCCCAGAUUCCUUAGCCUGGAACUCUGAACACACAUUCUUCUUAGACCAUAGGGCCAUUUUCAGGGUAUUCUCAAGUUCAGUUACUGCUGUCAGGUGUGUCUCCCAUAUAGCUGAUAAUUGAUGACUUAAGCUAUUUUUAGAAGUCAUAUGAAGAAAGGAUCAGUAGUCCCUUCACUUGCCCUGUGAGAGAGUGUGUCCUGCUUUCAGAGACACACAAUGGCCAUUUGACAAAUUUACUAAGACCAUUCUGAAUACAUGAGAAAUUAUUUCAUAAUACACCCAUUCUAAUGGAAAGCAUAGAACUGUGAGAUUAUCAAUGGAUAAAGGAAGUAGAAUUUACGAUUCCCAAGUAGUUAUGUGGAAAGUCAGACUAAGCCAUUCUUCCUUGCCUUUUUCAUUUGGCAAACUGCCCUGAGCAUUCACUAUGUACUGAGCACCCUGCUUGGUGUUGCAGAUAAAAAUAUGGAAACAGUAUGAUUCUUGACCUCAAGGCACUUAUGCUAAGACUUCUAGAAUGGAACAUACGUAUAAACAAAGAACCGUAAUGAGGGUUACAAGUGCUAUUGUAUAAUCAUACUCAGAUCACAACGUAGGUACUAAAAAAGGUGUGGUCUGCUAAGAAUGAUGGUUUCCAGCUUCAUCCAUGUCCCUGCAAAGGACAUGAACUCAUUCUUUUUUAUGGCUGCAUAGUAUUCCAUGGUAUAUAUGUGCCACAUUUUCUUUAUCCAGUCUAUCAUUGAUGGUCAUUUGGGUUGGUUCCAAGUCUUUGCUAUUAUAAAUAGUGCUGCAAUAUAUAUACAUGUGCAUGUGUCUUUAUAGUAGAAUGAUUUAUAAUCCUUUGGGUAUAUACCCAGUAAUGGGAUUGGUGGGUCAAAUGGUUUUUCUGAUUCUAGAUCCUUGAGGAAUUGCCACACUGUCUUCCACAAUGGUUACUUCUCUCUGAGCCAGGGGAGGGUGGCUGUGGUCUCUUUAAUGAUCUAGCCUACUAUAUCUUGAGGGUAAAGUCUAUGACUGUGGUCACUUUAUUCAUCAUUGUAUCUGUACCAUCUUGCACAUAGUAGGUGCUCAGUGAGUAGUAUUUAAAUGAGCAAAAGCUGAUGUUGUCGGAGGGCAUGGUGUACAUGAAGCAAUGUAAGCAGUUUAGCCCAAGAGUCAAGAUCCUGCAUGAUCAGGCCCUGAUUCCCUCGCCAGCUUCAUCUCCCAAGCACUGCUCCCCUUCUGCCAUGAUGAACAGUUUGAGCUUUAUCCUGGGUCAGUGGGGACCCAUAGGAGAAGUUUAAGCAGGGCCAUGAUGUGACAAGCUUUGUGUUUUAGAAAGCUCUGGCUGCCGUGUGAAGGAUUGACUACAGAGGGCAACCCUGGAGCUAAGAAGAUCAUUCAGUUCUGUAGUAGUUCAGGUGGGAGAAUGCACCUAAGAAUCCCCUGGUGUUUGUCCAGGGCCCACCCCAGGCCAUUUAAAUCAGAAUCUCUGGUGAUGGGAUCUAGGCAUCAGUAGUUUCUAAAUCCUUCCAGAUGAUUCCAGUGAGAAACCAAGGCUGAUAAUCACUAGUGUGAAUUAAGAGAGUUGCAGAAUGGAAAGGGGGCUAUAGAUGCAAAGGCUGUUAGAGGUAAGGGGACAGCAUGCCUAGCUAACAGAGCAGGGCCAAUGAAGAAAGGGGAGGAAUUGAAUUAUUCACAAGUUCUGAUUGGAGUCAUUGAAAAUGGGAAGUAGGGUGAUCAACCUUCCCAUUUUGCCAGGGACUAUCACAGUUCUCUUACUGAAGAUCUCUCAUUCUGCAAUAGUUCGUUACUGACAUGGCUUGGAUCUGUGACCUCACCCAAGUCUCAUGUCGAAUUGUAAUCCCCAAUGUUGGAGGCAGGGCCUGGGGGGACGUGAUUGGAUCAUGGGGGCAGAAUCCUCAUUAAUGGUUUAGCACCAUCCCCCCUUGGUACUAUAUAGUGAGUGAGUUCUCAUGAGGUCUGAUCUCCCUCCUCUCUCUCUUCCUCCUGCUCCAGUCAUGUAAAACGUGCCUGCUUCCCCUUUCCCUUCCCCUUCCACCAUGAUUGUAAGUUUCCUGAGACCUCCCCAGAAACAAAUGCCAGCAUCAUGCUUCCUGUACAGCAUGUGGAACCCUGAGCCAAUUAAACCUCUUUUCUUUAUAAAUUACCCAGUCUCAGGUAUUUCUUUACAGCAAUGUGAAAACAGACUAAUACAACAGGGAGGAUGGUAGUACCAUUCACCAAGAUAGGCAAUACAGGAUCAGAGUGUGGUUGGGGGAAAGGUGAUUAAUUUUAAACAUGUAACAGCUGCUAAGUAUUGGUGACUAAUGCCAUUCUAAGCUCACAGCUGAGGAUCAUAUGAGUUAAAUCCCCCACAUUCUAAAUUCCUAGAACCACAGCUGUUGGAGUGGGUCAGCCACACCCUGACAAGGUUUGCUAAGAGGAACCAGGAAGCAGAACCAGCAGCAACACCUCUCACCCUAAUAUAAAGUGAGACUGAAAGGGAGAAGACUGUUGCCUUUUGCAGAAGUGCAGUGCUCAUUUAGGAUGAUUUACUCCCAAGAACAAGGGUAGGGGGUAGGUUGCCUCCCAUCCUCAAAGCCAAGGGUAAGAGCUGUCGAGAGAACCACUCACAGGUUUGUAAGUAUCUGAUAUGUGCUACCUGUCUGAACAGCUGAAGGAUGCUAGGCUCACUGUCCAGCCCCUGUGCCACCACAGUAGAGGAAAAAAUACAUUGGGAAGAGAUGGCAUGAUGGGGGGCUGCCAAGCAGGGCAGGGGUCGAAACUGUCUUCACUUGAAGUCAUGGUGUCCUGGAGGCUUGAAAGGUGGAUUCCACAAAAGCCUGAAGACCCAGGAGUUGGCUGUGGUGAGUAGACCAUAUUUGGAGUCUUGGUCUUGUCUGGCUAUGCUGCAAUAUUGGGCAAAGAGGGGCACACAUCAGAGGAAUGGGACAUAAGGCCACCAGCUCGAGGGCUGGGCUUGAAGUUGAGAAUGAAUCUCUUAUAAGGAACCCCUAGCAUCUAGAAUUACUGGUUGGGGGCAAAUCCCCUGUCUGAAGAUGUUGUCUUCCUUCAUCUGUCCACACUAACACAAUGGCAAUAAGCUGGGUCUCACGGGGCACCUCUCCCUUCCAUUUUUCUCCUCCAUGGUCAUUACCAGCAGGAGGUAUGGUAGACUUACAAGUUGUGUGUGACCCAGAUCACAUCUCUAUUCUGCAGGGCAUAGGAGAGGAGGAGAGAGCCAUGCAUUGGAUAUGAAACUAAAGCUUUAAAAUAAAAUCAUUGGAUCUUAAGAAUAGGAAGUCUUUUUUUUUUUUUUUUUUUUUUUUGAGACAGAGUCUCAGUCUUGCUCUGUCACCCAGGCUGGAGUGCAGUGGCAUGAUCUCAGCUUACUGCAACCUCCGCCUCCUGGGUUCAAGCAAUUCUCCUGCCUUAGCCUCCCAAGUAGCUAGGACUACAGGCACCCACCCCCAAGCCCAGCUAAUAUUUUUUAUAUUUUUAGUAGAGAUGGAGUUUCACCAUGUUGGCCAGGCUGGUGACCUGCCUCAGCCUCCCAAAGUGCAGGAGCCACCACACGUGGCCAUUUUUUUUUUAACAGCUAGUAGUAACUAUUCUAAUGACUAAAAGUGACCAAGACAUGAUAUGGGGCUGAAAUUAUUAAGGAAGUCUGCUUUACAUAGAAAACAGGAUUUUGACCCAGCAGUCAUUGCCAUGUUGUGGGCAACUUUAUAGAGAGGCCAAGGUAGUGAGAGACUGAAGCCUUCUACCAACAGCAAUGUGGACCCCAGCCCCUUCAGAUGUGACAGCUUGACUGCAACAGCAUAAGAAACCCUGAGAUGGAAACUGAAGCUAAGAUACUCCUGGAUUCCCGAACCCCACAUAUUGAGAGAUAAUAGAUGUUUGUUGUUUUAAGUUGCCAGUUUUGGGGUCAUUUGUUAUGCAACAAUAGAUAACCAGUAAUUGUCCUGAGUUGGGCCAAGGGGACCAGACCUUUACAUCGGACUCAUUGAUUAGUCGUUGGAUGCAGGCUGUGCCGGAAGGAAGCGUGACUCUGGACGAGGCCGUUUUCUUCAGCCAAGGCAGCCCCCCAGAAGGCAGUCAGCUGAAGGCUGUUUUCGGGCAACAUUCGCAGCAGCCGGGUGACCAAGUCCUUUAUUGCUAAAGAGGAGGGAUCUGGGCAGUUCAUCAAGUGGUUAGUGGGAGGCUCCUGUGGGUCUCCUGAAAGAAGUUUCUCUACCCAAUUAACCACCUUAGCCCAAGAUGUCACCAGCCAAGGGAGAAAUUGGAGUUUGAGGAGCCUGGGAGCCAUGCUUCGUCUUCUACUUUCCUCCUGACCACUGCUCUCUUUUUAAAUGGUGGUGUUUCACUGGGCUUUAUCCUUGACUCCCUCCUACAUCUGUAGGAGGGGAUGUAGGGAGAGCAGUGUCCAUCAGGUUGAGGAAGAAGAGGGCAUUAGGAAGACAGUCGUGGUCAGUGAGUGUUUGCUGAAUGUAUUGGUUGGGGUCUAAGGUGAAACCAGACAGCACACACAAGGCGAGUGGCAGAAAGUAGCUUAACAAAGGGACUCCUUACAGAAUUGAGGUCAGGGGUGAGGGGCCCCAACAGGGACCACAGGAUUCUUCCCUCCUCUAGGCCUGGGGGGUGUGAGAGCAUGGAGUGGGUGCCAGCACUUGGAGAGGGCCAUCUUCAUGGAGAAAUCUGACUGUUGGAUGAAGCCAUGGCCUUCAGAGAGGAACACAGGCAACCGAAGUUUGGUACUGCCCAUAAGUCAUCCUCACGGGGCACACGGCAGGGUGAAGGAGGGCAGGAAGCUCAUCUGCAAGGGCAAGAAUGAAAGGGAGUCAGCAGACAAGAGUUAGAAAUGUUCGGCCAGGCGCAGUGGCUCACGCCUGUAAUACCAGCACUUUGGGAGGCCGAGGUGGGUGGAUCACCUGAGGUCAGGAGUUCAAGACCAGUCUGGCCAAUAUGGUGAAACCCCAUCUCUACUAAAAACACAAAAAUUAGCCAGGCACAGUGGUGGGCGCCUGUAAUCCCCAGGUACUUGGGAGGCUGAGGCAGAGAAUUGCUUGAACCCGGGAGGCAGAGAUUACAGUAAGCCGAGAUUGCGCCACUACACUCCAGCCUGGGCAACAGAGUGAGACUCCGUCUCAAAAAAAAAAAAAAAAAAGUUCACGACUGAUCUCCCUUUUAAUAGCAAUUUAAAAUGUGAAUGUUUGGGUACACUCCUAAACUUUAAGGAUGAUAUCAGAGAAACUAGUACUCUUUUUCUGUAAGUAUUCCUGGUGCCACUGACAGAUCCUAGCUAAAGAGACCACUGGUCUGAUUCAGUGGAGUAUUACUUUCCUAGGAAAUUAUAAAGUUCCCUAGGACACUGUAAUUGGCUGUGUCAGUGUUGAUAUGCUAGCUGUGAUAGUGUACUACAGUUUUGCAAGAUGUCACCAUUGUGGGUAACCAGCUAAAGGAUACAAGCUAUCUCUGUAUUAUUUUUUACGACUGCAUGUGAAUCUGUAAUCAUCUCAAGAUUAAAAAUGUAAUUAAAAAUUAAUUCACUUAUUCUACUUGAAGGAACUAAGAACAUGCUACUCCAAACUAUGCUGCUCUGGUAUAUUGGCUAUUUUGUGUUUAGGGACUGAAUAAAACAGCAGGACAAGAGGAUCACUCAGCCCUUCCUUUUAUUUUUUUGAAAGCAAGAGAUGAAAUUCCCAUGUGAAAGAUGCCCUCCUUAUACCAGAAAGAAGGUAUUAUUCUUAUCAUCAAGGAUAGGAGAUCUGUACUAAUGAAACUUGUUAAAUUAAUCCUUAUUUUCCUAGUCACUUCUCUACCCAGUUAACCACCCUAGCCCAAGCUCCUUUACCUUGUCACAUUUUAAUAAUUCAUGACUCUUUGUCUAAUUCAGUAUAAGUGUUCAAUUCUGCAUCUUUGAAUCUUCAUUUCCUUAGCCAUGUAACAUGUGUAUUACAUUUGUAUGCUUUUCUCCUAUGAAUUUGUCUUCUGUCAACUUAAUUCCUAGGCCCAACCAAAAAACCCUAAAAAAGCAGAGGUCAAGUUUUACUCUCCCUACACGCUUAUGAUAAUUAAAUGUGAGGCUUUAAACUUCGAUGUAGAGUUCCCCAGUAAUAACUCAACUACUUAGUAUUCUAAUUUUACCGGAAUGAAAUCUUUGAGUUACUUGAUCUGCUAUGACUUGAAUUUUAUUUCUGUCAAACUCGGCUGUCGUUGCCUUGAAUAGGAAGAAUAAAUCCAAAGCCUGGGAGAGAGGCCUGAGUCCUUGCAAAGCCAGUAAACAAAAUCGUAAUUGGAUCUGCCUCAUGUGCACACAGGGUUUUACCUCUCCUGUUGAUCUUGUGGUAGAACUCCUCUGCAUGGUGUGCUGUUCUCCUACAGACAGAUUUGGAGAACUUACAUGCUGUUGUUCUUGAACAGGCUUUUCAGUUCUUAGAAUUAACUAGCUCAUGUAUCAUUAGAACAAAGUAGUAAUUUAAAAAAUAAAUCUACAUUAAUGGGCUAUUUGGGGGGAACAACAGCUGCUCCAAGAUCACAGAGGAGAAGAGGGUGUUAAAACACCCAAUCCUAAAGAUAGUUCUAGAUCAGAAGCUUGAUGACUAAUUCAAUUAAAAUGAGUGUGUGUCUGUUGGCUGCAUAAAUGUCUUCUUUUGAGAAGUGUCUGUUCAUAUCCUUCACCAACUUUUUGAUGGGGUUGUUUGCUUUUUUCUUGCAAAUUUGUUUAAGUUCCUUGUAGAUUCUGGAUAUUAGCCCUUUGUCAGAUGGGUAGACUGUAAAAAUUUUCUCCCAUUCUGUAGGUUGCCUGUUCACUCUGAUGGUAGUUUCUUUUGCUGUGCAGAAGCUCUUUAGUUUAAUUGGAUCUCAUUUGUCAAUUUUGGCUUUUGUUGCCAUUGCUUUUGGUGUUUUAGUCAUGAAGUCCCUGCCCAUGCCUAUGUCCUGAAUGGUAUUGCCUAGGUUUUCUUCUAGGGUUUUUAUGAGUUUAGGUCUAACAUGUAAGUCUUUAAUCCAUCUUGAAUUAAUUUUUAUAUAAGGUGUAAGGAAGGGAUCCUGUUUCAGCUUUCUACGUAUGGCUAGCCAGUUUUCCCAGCACCAUUUAUUAAAUAGGGAAUCGUUUCCCCAUUUUUUGUUUUUGUCAGGUUUGUCAAAGAUCAGAUGGUUGUAGAUGUGUGGUAUUAUUUCUGAGGGCUCUGUUCUGUUCCAUUGGUCUAUAUCUUGUUCUGGUACCAGUACCAUGCUGUUUUGGUUACUGUAGCACUGUAGUAUAUUUUGAAGUCAGGUAGCAUGAUGCCUCCAGCUUUGUUCUUUUGGCUUAGGAUUGUCUUGGCAAUGCUGGCUCUUUUUCGGUUUCAUAUGAACUUUAAAGUAGUUUUUUCCAAUUCUGUGAAGAAAGUAAUUGGUAGCUUGAUGGGGAUGGCAUUGAAUCUAUAAAUUACCUUGGGCAGUAUGGCCAUUUUCACAAUAUUGAUUCUUCCUAUCCAUGAGCAUGGAAUGUUCUUCCAUUUGUUUUUGUUCUCUUUUAUUUCGUUGAGCAGUGCUUUCUAGUUCUCCUUGAAGAGGUCCUUCACUUCCCUUGUAAGUUGGAUUCCUAGGUAUUUUAUUCUCUUUGAAGCAAUUGUGAAUGGGAGUUCACUCAUGAUUUGGCUCUCUGUUUGUCUGUUAUUGGUGUAUAAGAAUGCUUAUGAUUUUGCACAUUGAUUUUGUAUCCUGAGACUUUGCUGAAGGAGAUUUGCUUACUAAGGAGAUUUUGGGCUGAGGUGAUGGGGUUUUCUGAAUAUAUAAUCAUGUCAUCUGCAAACAGAGACAGUUUGACUUCCUCUUUUCCUAAUUGAUUACCCUUUAUUUCUUUCUCCUGCCUGGUUGCCCUGGUCAGAACUUCCAACACUAUGUUGAAUAGGAGUGGUGAGAGAGGGCAUCCCUGUCUUGUGCCAGUUUUCAAAGGGAAUGCUUCCGGUUUUUGUCCAUUCAGUAUGAUAUUGGCUGUGGGUUUGUCAUAAAUAGCUCUUAUUGUUUUGAGAUACGUCCCAUCAGUACCUAGUUUACUGAGAGUUUUUAGCAUGAAGGGCUGUUGAAUUUUGUCAAAGGCCUUUUCUGCAUCUAUUGAGAUAAUCAUGUGGUUUUUGUCUUUGGUUCUGUUUAUAUGAUGGAUUAUGUUUAUUGAUUUGCAUAUGUUGAACCAGCCUUGCAUCCCAGGGAUGAAGCCAACUUGAUCGUGUUGGAUAAGCUUUUUGAUGUGCUGCUGGAUUCGGUUUGCCAGUAUUUUAUUGAGGAUUUUUGCAUCAAUGUUCAUCAGGUAUAUUGGUCUAAAAUUCUCUUUUUUGUUGUGUCUCUGCCAGGCUUUGAUAUCAGAAUGAUGUUGGCCUCAUAAAAUGAGUUAGGGAAGAUUCCCUCUUUUUCUAUUGAUUGGAAUAGUUUCAGAAGGAAUGGUACCAGCUCCUCUUUGUACCUCUGGUAGAAUUCAGCUCAUCAUCACUGGCCAUCAGAGAAAUGCAAAUCAAAACCACAAUGAGAUACCAUCUCACACCAGUUAGAAUGGCAAUCAUUAAAAAGUCAGGAAACAACAGGUGCUGGAGAGGAUGUGGAGAAAUAGGAACACUUUUACACUGUUGGUGGGACUGUAAACUAGUUCAACCAUUGUGGAAGACAGUGUGGCAAUUCCUCAAGGAUCUAGAACUAGAAAUACCAUUUGACCCAGCCAUCCCAUUACUGGGUAUAUAUCCAAAGGAUUAUAAAUCAUGAUGCUAUAAAGACAUAUGCAUACGUAUGUUUAUUGCAGCACUAUUCACAAUAGCAAAGACUUGGAACCAACCCAAAUGUCCAUCAAUGAUAGACUGGAUUAAGAAAAUGUGGCACAUAUACACCAUGGAAUACUAUACAGCCAUAAAAAAGGAUGAGUUCAUGUCCUUUGUAGGGACAUGGAUGAAGCUGGAAACCAUCAUUCUGAGCAAACUAUCACAAGGACAGAAAACCAAACACCACAUGUUCUCACUCAUAGGUGGGCCUGUGGACACACCAGGGCCUGUCGUGGGGUGGGGGGAUUGGGGAGGGAUAGCAUUAGGAGAAAUACCUAAUGCAAAUGACAAGUUAGUGGGUGCAGCAUACCAAUAUGGCACAUGUAUACAUAUGUAACAAACCUGCAUGUUGUACACAUGUACCCUAGAGCUUAAAGUAUAAUAAAAAAAAUUGAAAUUAUAAGAAUGUAUACAAACAAAAUAAAAAUGAAAUAAAAUAAAAUAAAAUGAGUGUGUGGAAUAUGUAAAGUCUCCAGGUAUGUUUUUACCCCCAGAUUUUUUUUUUUCACAAACUUAAUACAUGGGGCUGGGAGUGGAGGCUCAUGUCUGUAAUCCCAGCACUUUGGGAGGCCAAGUUGGGAGGAUUGCUUGAGCUCAGGAGUUAAGACCAGCCUAGGCAAUAUGGUGAGACCCCAUCUCUUUAAAAAUAAUAAUAAUAAUAAUACAUUGGUAGGCUAAAGUUGCAGAACAAAUAUAAUUCUUGGUCCUGUAUACAAAAGAACCCUCAGUGAUAGUAUGCUUUUUAUUCAAAUCCUUGAAGAUCAAGGUUUAAGUAGUUUUAUUUUAGGGUAGGAUGUGUUUCAUGCAGCAUUAAUUUUAUUGUCUUUUUUUAAAAAAGCAUGUAAUUGGUGUAGUCAGGACUGAAAUUUUAUUCGUCUCCUCAGAUGAAAGUAGUAUCUUAUUAAACAGCCCUAGACCAGGAAAUACAAGGGCAUUAUAAUGAAUAAUUCUAAGCUCAUUAUGAUCUCAGUGAAUAGGUUCAGAUUCAGCACAAUACUAGAACUGAUGUUUAUUAACACUGAUGGCACAAAGUACAUGUCUGAUCCACUUCAAUGGAGUCAUUAUUUAGUGUGACACUGCACUGCCAAAUGCAGCCAUGUUUGUGGAAAGACAGGAAGUUGUCACAGGGCCAGGAGCAGUGGCUCACACCUGUAAUCUCAACGCUUUGGGAGGCCAAGGUGGGAGGAUUGCUUGAGCCCAGGAGUUUGAGACCAGCUUGGGCAACGUAGUGAGACCUCACAUCUCUAACAAAAAAAAAAAAAAAAAAAAAAAAAUAGAAAAAAUAAAAAAAAAACUAGAAAGUCAUUACAACAAAAUUUUAUGCCAGAAAAUGUACUAUCAAGACCCAUAGACAUAUGUAAACAUGGUCUCUUUCCUAGGCAUGGACACUUAUACCUUUAUCACCUAAGAAAGAUGAAGGUCUAAGGCAGAAACACAGCUCCUUUAUUAGCUAAAACGUCUUGUAACAUCAGACGCCUUAAAUUAUCCACUAAUUACAUUUAAAUAAAAAAUGUGGGGACAAAUUAGCUUUAAUCGAAUUAAAAUGAAAUUUCUAGUGCAGCUAGAUGGCUGUUUUGCUAGAAUCUGUUUAGCUGUAAAUUCCAUUUAGAGUUGUUAAUAGUAUUCCUCUUCAACUCUGUUUAACCCACCCAUCAUCAUGGUGAAUUGCCAAAUGUCUUACAAGGUAGAAUAAAUAUUCUUGGACCUCUUUUCAGGUCAGGCAUCAUUGGAAAUUUCUCCUUUUCACUUUACUAUUAUUUUUGAGACAGAGCCUCACACAGGCUGGAGUGCAGCGGUGCAAUCUCAGCUCACUGCAACCUCCACCUCCCGAUUUCAAGUGAUUCUUCUGCCUCAGCCUCCCAAGUAGCUAGGACUACAGGCGCCCACUACCACGCCCAGGUAAUUUUUUUUUUUUUUUUUUUUAGUAGAGACGGGGUUUCACUAUAUUGGCCAAGCUGGUCUCGAACUCCUGACUUCAUGUGAUCCGCCCGCCUUGGCCUCCCAAAGUGCUGGGAUUACAGGCAUGAACCACUGUGCCCGGCCUAAGUUUCCCUUUUUUAUUUACCAGUCCUGAGCUGGGUUCACAACCUGAAUUAAGUCCUUGUUGUGCAAUUGUGUGAUGUUAUGACUUUGCUGAGCUUCAAUUUCCUCAUCUGUAAAAUGAGGAUAAUGUUGCAGCAUUCAGAGACAACAUAUAUAAGGCACCUAGCACAGAACCUGCCCACAGUAGGCCCUAAAUCAAUGGUAGUCAACAUCAAAUAAAGCUGAUUAACCAGCUUGAUUUGAAACUUAUUUCUACUUUAGAUAAUUUCACAAUAAGUCUGAGACAUGCUGUAACAAAUUUUCAUGCCUCUCCUUCAUAAACAUGAAUGACAUGAAUGAAGCAAAACGAACAUUUAGGCCUCGGUUUUCACAGAUAAAAGACUAGGUAGUGACCUCUAGUGGUAAACAGGCAAAAUGCCUAAAGGCGAUACAUUUUCUCCCUUACUUAGGAUUCAGCCUGAAAUUGAUCACAGAAGUGCAAUGUAAAGCUAUGAGAUCAAAUGUAAUUAAUACUUGGAUAAGAAUUUAGCCUUCAUGCCAUUCUGUAAAACAAUGAAAUAAAGGAAAAUGUCCUUGCCUUCUGUUAUGCCAAAAAUUGCAGUUUAAUCAUAUGAGUAACAAAAGAAUCGGGGCCAGGCAAAGUGGCUCAUACCUGUAAUCCCAGCACUUUGGGAGGCCAAGGCAGGCAAAUCACUUGAGCCCAGGAGUUUGAGACCAGCCUGGGCAACAUGUGAAACCCCGUUUCUACCAAAAAUACAAAAAUUAGCCUAGCCAGGCAUGAUGGCAUGUACCUGUGGUCUCAGCUACUUGGGAGGCUGAGGUAGGAGGAUUGCUUGAACCUGGGAGGUUGAGGCUGCAGUUAGCCAUGAUCACACCCCUGCACUCUAACCUGGGUGAAAGAGCAAGACCCUGUCUCAAAAAAAAAUCAGAGCCAGAAAAAAAUCAAAUUAUAUUUGAUUUUUUUGACAAAUAUGAGCUAUUUUGAUUCAUUUUUGCACAAAUGACCAGAUGUUACAUUAAAAUUUAUUUCAGUAGUACCUUAAGUGGAAUUAUAAACUUCUUUCCAAGUACAUAGAGUAGUUCAUAAUGGAUCAUUUUGCAGAAUUUCUGAUAGUGUCGUAAAAAGAAAAUGUGCUGUAGGAUCUUCACUGAUGACAUUGUCUAAGCACUAGUUAUUACUUACAGAGCUUGCCUUCACUGGACAUUAGCAGGGCUGGUUCCCAUCCAGCUUCUGAACUCUUACAAUCUCCAUUUCUGCCAACAUUACUGCUCGUGAAAUUCAAUCAGUACAGUAUAGGAUGGUGGUUAAGAGCAUGAACUCUGAAGCCAGACUGGGUUUAAAUCCCAGCUUUACCAUUUGUUGACUAUGAGAGAUUGAUGCCUCAGUUUCUUCAUCUAUAAAACAUCAGUGUUAAUACCAGCUACCUUAUAGGUGGUUCUCAUGGUGGAUUAAGCUAAUAUAUAGACAGUGAUUAGAACAGAGCCUGGAAUUAUUAUUGAGCAGAUGUUAUGCACCUAUACCAUUCUAGGGACUAUAGAGAAUGCAUCCAAAGCUGAAAAUCCAGGCCCUGUCCUCAAGAAUUUAUAGUUGACAUGGAAAGAUCUUGCUAGAGGAAUGGGCCUUCAUUCCACUUGUUGGUUUGCAGGAGGGGGACUUUUUUUUUUUUAAACAUAUGCCUGGCUUCUUAUGUCCCUAUUCUUGUUCCCCUGCAAGAUGUGGAGCAACUUUCUUGGAGUGAAGUGGCAUUGGGCGCAGUCCCACAAGGAAAAGGACACAUAUUUUUGAAUGCAGUUAGGAAGUAUGUUUGGCCCUUACUCUAUAGUAUAUCCUACAAUUUGCCUCCAUCAAUAAUAAAGGUAAUAACCUGGGUUCUGGGGGUCAACUACCGGUUAUGGUUCAUUUUUUUCAGAACUCAGCCAGAAGUGGCAAACUAUUUACUGAGGAGACACUUAGAGACCCCACAAAACACAAGAGCCAUUCAGCGCCAACUUCUAUGGUGUGAACCUACUAUAAAAGCAUUUCCAGAAAUGAGAAUUUGGUGUAGACUGAAGCAACAGGAAUUGAUUUCAUGGAAGUGGGACUUAAGCUGGUUCUUGAAGAAUGAGAUAGAAUUUGGAUGGGGAGAAGGAGGAAAAGCAAGAGCCCUUCUGCAAGCAAAGCAAUUUUUUUUGAAGUUUGUACUUCUAUGUAAUUGAAAUAUAUAAAAUAUUGAUUAAAAUUAGUUAUAUUCCUGUUUGAUGACACAUGGUGACCUAGCCAGGCUGUGGUGGAGAAAUAGAUGACAUAGGUCCUUGCUGCCUGAUUUUUUAGUAUUAUGUGACCCAAUUGCCAGGAAUGUUCUAAGCACUUUGCACAUAUUGAGUCACUUACUCCUCACAACAACUGUAUGACAUAGACAUCAUCUCCUCCACUUUACAACUGAGGUUACUGAAGCAUAGAGAGUAGUUAUCAGCCUAAUGUCACACUGCCAGUAAGAGACAGAACUAGGGUUCAAACCCAGGUAGUUUGACCUGCAUCCCAUUCUCUCUCAUCAUUCAGCUUUACGAUUUCUCAGUCCAAGGGAAGAAGUUGGGUGGUCUCUCUUGUGAAGGAAACCAGUGAAGAGACCAGAGUGAUGGCUUGGACUUUGGAGGCUGCCACAUAAAGCUGGGAGGUAGUGGGGGCUCAUCAAUGGAGGGUUUGGAAAGCCAAGCACAGGAACUUGGCUGUGGAGAAAGAAAAAGAAGAUUCAUCUUUCUGUGUUCCUGACCAAGAACAAUUCCAUACUGUUCAUUGCAUUAAUUCCAAAGAUUUCAAGGGUUCCAGUUUGGUAGACUGGACAUUAUGUACAUAUGAGAAGAGGGUAAAACAAAAACAGAACUGGACCCUCUAUGCAUCCCCUGGGCUGCUGCUGGGAAGGCACAUAGCUGAAAGUGGAAACGUGUUCUCUUGUCCUUUUUUUCCAAGCACCUGCCUAGAAGACAAACAAGGCUGGAGGUAUGAAUUUGAGGUUUCACCUAUAUUUGAGAGCUGAAACCACAAAAUGUUAAACUCCCUGGGAAAAAAGUCACUAAAGAAGCAGAAGAGAAACACCAACAGAGGAGGGCAUAUGGACAGCACGGUGCUGUGGAAGUUACUCUGCAUAAUUUAAGAAAUUCCCAGUCAGCUACUUCAAAGAGGUGGUAGAAGAUGAGAACUGGGAUGAAGCCAGGAAAUUUAACAAUGAGCCUAAGAAUGUUGAAGAGAGGAAAUGAAACUUGGCUCUGCCCUUAUGAUGCUAUUGCAUAGGGUCAAAAAAGGCAUGUCUGGUUUAUGUGAGCCUCCUCACUGUUUCCCACCCUCCCGGGACAUAAGGCCCCUUUCAAGUUGGCUGGGAUGGGCAUGGGAGUGAGGAACUGAGUCCUCAAGUUACAAAGUUGGAAUUCCUUUUUAUGCAUUAGGCUUGGCUCCUUGGUACCACACCUUAGCCCUCUCCCAUGGGCUCUUCGCACACCUCCUACUCUCCUGAUCUUUGAUAUUCCCUCUGCUGUCAGCUGGAUUUGCCCAUGUCACAGGCAGUUCAGUUCCUGGUGACCACCCCUGUCCAGCUGUGACCUUCAAGAGGGGCCCUGCCCCAUGUCUCUCUCAGCUCCUGCCCGACCCCAGUCUGGAUUGUCGCACUCCUUCCAGGAAGCAUUAGCCUCUCCUCCUUGCCCCUCUGGCUCCUUAGAGCUACUCUGCCACCCCCAAAUUACCUUGGAAAAGGUUAGCUGUGUCUGCAUACUUGUUACUUUGUGCAUCUGCUGGCCUUCUGCUCACCCCACAGACAGGGUGGUGGACACACAGUAAGGUGACCCCCAGGGAGUCCUGCCCUUGUGUAGUCCCUUCCCCUGAGCAACAGGUGGAACCUGGUCCUACAAAAAUUACCAAAAAAUAGCCAGAUGUUGGUGGCGGGCUCCUGUAAGUCCUAACUACUUGGGAGGCUGAGGUGGGAGGAUUGCUUAAGCCCAGGAGGUCGAGGUUGCAGUGAGCCAUAGUUGUACCACUGCACUCCAGCCUUGGUGACAGAGUGAGACCCUGUCUCAAAAAACAACCCCACAACCGUUCCCCGCCAACAACUCCACCACACACAAGAGGACAGGGUUCAGAGAGCUUCUGAAGAGGUGACCACGUGGAGGUUCCUGGAGGGUGGUAUACCUGGAGACGGCCUUCAAGCUUUGUACCCCUUCCCCUAUACCUUGCCCUACACACUUCAUCUAUAUCCUUUGUAAUAUCCUUUAUAAUAAAUGAGUAAAUGCAAGUAAGUGUUUCCCCGAGUUCCGUGAGCCACUCUAGAAAAUUAAUUGAAUCCUGCUGGACUCAGUGGCUCACGACUGUAAUCCCAGCACUUUGGGAGGCCAAGGUGGAUGGAUAACCUGAAGUUAGGCAUUAGGGACCAGCCUGGCCAACAUUGUGCAAUCCCCUCUCUAAUAAAAAUACAAAAAGUAGCUGGGCAUGGUAGUAUGCCCCUGCAAUCCCUGCUACUUGGGAGGCUGAGGCAGGAGAAUCGCUUGAACCUGGGAGGCGGAGGUUGAAGUGAGCUGAGGUCGGGCCACUGCACUCCAGCCUGGGUGACAGUGCGAGGCUCCAUCUUAAAAAAAAAAAAAAAGAAAAAGAAAAUUAAUUGAAACCAAAGAGGGGGUUGUGGGAACCCCAACUUAAAUCUGGUCAGCCAGAAGUUCCAGACACUUGGACUGGCGAUUGGUGGGACUGAGCCCUCAACCUGUGGGAUCUGACACAAUCUCCAGGUAGACAAUGUCAGAACUGAAUUGGAGGACACUCAGCUGGUGUCCACUGCAGAAUCUAUUGUUUACUUGCUGGUGGAGAGAAAUCCCCACAUAUUUCGGGGUCAUAGAAGUCUUCUGUGUUUAUUGUGUUGAUAUGAGUAGAGGAGUUUGGCUUGAGAGAUUUUUCCAAACAGGAUAUCAUUCCCUUGAUCAAUUUCAUUAUAGAAGACUGUCUAAAGUAACUAGAGAGACUUUCUUGCUGCUAAUUUUUGUACUUUUUGUAAAGACAGCUCUCACUGUGUUGCCCAGGCUGGCUCCUGCUCUUGAGUGAUCCUCCCACCUCAGCCUCCCAAAGUGCUGGGCUAACAGGCAUGAGCCACUGUGCCCUGCCCUUGCUGGCUUGUUGUUUGGGGCUGCCAUCAGCUCCUAGAAGCCACCCACAGUUCCUUGCCACAUGACCCUCUCACAACAUGGCAGUUCCUAUCUUCAAAGCCAGCAAGAAAGUCUCUCUAGCAUACCCAGCAAGAAUGUAUAGGGCUGUUCAGGGCUCACAGUAGAUUACCUUUCUCAACAGAUGGAGUAGGGGGUGACUUAAAGUGUGCAUAAUCUUUAAAAAUUAGCAUUUUCCAUUUGUACUCUCUAAAUUUGGGUUAGCUGGAUCCAAACCCCAUGAUUCUGCUACAUAUGGGAUCCCAGUCCACCUAUCUCUAGCAUACUUCCUCUAUUAAUCAUUCUCUCUUGACAUUUGCCACCUCAUUUUAGCCAGCUGUGCUUGUUUUCACUUAUGUUAUUUUAUGAGCAGUGCUUAUUUUGACAGCAGCAUACAUAGUGGAAUGAUGGCUGGUUCUGGCAUUUAAAAAGCUGGAUUCACAUUCAAGCUCUACCAUUUGCCAAAUAAGAAACCAAUACUCCCAUCAGCCAACUCAAGUAGUAAAGUUGGAAUAGCAUAGUGCCUUUGAUUUUUUCCCUUACAGGGGUGUAGUAGUGAAGGGUAUGUAACUCAAAAUAAUCUUCUUGAAAGUCAAGCUUCUCCUCCUUUCCCCAAAACUUGUUCCCCACCUGAAUUCUCUACUUGUUACAGUCACCAUUCAUCCAUCCCGACCUCCUCCUCUUCAUACCUUUGCAUCAAGGCUUGCCAGUUUUACCUUCUAAGCAUUGUUCUUCUGCCCUUUUCUUGACCUCCCAACUGCCAUUGUCUAUCUUUAUCAUGUGUCAAUCCAGUAGUUCCCUGAAGUAGCUUCUAGCAUCAUGCUGGCCACCAUUCUAUGAUGUCUUACUACUGCCUGAGCUUGUCAUUUCUCUCAUUUCAAACACCUUUCAUCCUCAUACAGUCCAAUUUCCUUACACAUGUUUUUGCCUUAAUUCCUUCUACAUCUCACCUUGUGUUGUUUUACACUGUAAUAUUACUUAUUUCUUGUAUUUCCUAAUAUCCACCAUGGCAUUUAACAUUUUUUGUGUCUUUGAUGCUCUUCCUACCUGGAAUACCAAUCCUGUUUUUGACUAAUUCCAACUCAUUUAAAAAUUUUGAUCAGCAUGGGACAUGGUGGCUCAUGCCUGUAAUCCCAGCACUCUGGAAUGCUGAGGCAGGAAGAUCAACUGGAGACCAGCCUGGCAACAUGGCAUGACCCCCAUCUCUACACAAAAUUUUUUUUUUUUUGAGACAAUGUCUCGCUCUGUUUCCCAGACUGGAGUGCAGUGGUGAGAUCUCAGCUUACUGCAACCGUCACCUCCUGGGUUCAAGCGAUUCUCCUGCCUCAACCUCCCAAGCAGCUAGGAUUACAGGCAUGCGCCACCACGCCCAGCUAAUUUUUGUAUUUUUAGUAGAGACGGUGUUUUACCAUGUUAGCCAGGGUGGUCUCGAACUCCUGACCUCAUGUGAUCCACCUGCCUCGGCCUCCCAGAGUGCUGGGAUUACAGGUGUGAGCCACCAUGCCUGGCCACAAUUUUUUUUUUUUUUUUUAAUUAGCCAGGCAUGGUGGUGCACACCUGUAGUCCAAGCCAGCUGGGAGGCUGAGGUGGGAGUGUUACCAGGAUGUGUGGAGUCCUCUGUUCUUAGUCUUCUUGGGAGAAGAAAUUUGGCCAAGAGACCAAUUAGUAAAGUAAACAAAGACAUAUUAAGGAAAUAAGAAUAUGCUCCAAGAGAGGAGUGGGCUGACCCUGCUGGGAGCAGUAGUAGUAGCAGUCUGUUUAAAGAGAUAGUAUGCUCUGAAAGAAAAGUCAGAGUGGGCUGCUGGAAAGAGAAUGAGCCAGCAGCCCCUAGGGUUCUGCAUUGAGAUUUUUGUUAUGUUGGGACUGUUUCUUUAAGUUCCCACCUCUGUCUCAAGUCUCCACCUCUAUCUUUAUCUAGCUUCCCCCUUCUGCAUUAAGUCCCUGCUUUUUUCCUGCCUAGUUCCUGCUCUAGGUUUAUGGGAUUCUCCUUUACUGGUAGUUAAGGCACAUGCAAGGACUGGUGUUGGGUACAAUCCUAAUGGCAGCUUUGCUUAUUACCCUCUAGCGUUGCCCUCUAGGAAGGUCAUAUAGCAGUUAUAUGUGUACAUAUUACCCCUGCAUAUCUCUCAGACUCUUAGAAAUUUCCCCUUUGCCCUUUUUUUUUUUUUUGAGACAGAGUCUCAAUUGUGCAGGCUGGAGUGCAGUGGCAUGAUCUCGGCUCACUGCAACCUCUGCCUCCCAGGCUCAAGCCAUUGACCUGCCUCAACCUCCUGAGUAGCUGGAAUUACAGGCACUUGCCACCAUGCCCAGCUAAUUUUUGCAUUUUUAGUAGAGACAGGGUUUCACCAUGUUGGCCAGGCUGGUCUUGAACUCCUGAACUCAGGUGAUCCACCCACCUCGGCCUCCCAAAGUUCUGGGAUUACAGGCGUGAUCCACUGUGCCCAGCCAUCCCCUCCUUAUCAGCAUGUGGCUAGCUCCAUUCUGACCGAUUAGCUGCAGCGUGAGUGAUUACUGGGCAUCUUAAGAGUUGUUCUGAGGUGUUUCUUCGUGCACAGGUAUUUUCCCUCCUUUAUGCUCAUAUCUAGCAUGCAGAUUUCCAGUGGUCUCUGAGGUGUGAGAUUUUCCAGACCUCCCUUUCUUCAGGCUCCCCCUCCUGCUCAUGUCUAGGUAUCUGCCUGCUGUAACAGGAGAACUGCUUGGGCCCAGGAGUUCAGGCUGCAGUGAGCCAUAUUUUGGGGUGAAAUUCCCUGUGCUCCCUCAGUAUGUCCACAUAAUGGGAUAUUAUGUUGCUAUAAAAAAUGAGAACACUCUAUUAAUUGGGUCCAGGACAAGUCACGCCAAAAUAUGACUUUAGGAGACCAGAAUAUGCCAGGCCAAAAUAUGUCUCUUUAACAUAAGGAUUAUUUUGAGCUGUUAUUUUGAGAAAUUGUAGACACAGUAGAGGCUCUGAAAAGUUAUCCUGUGUGAGAGAAAUUUACAUCUAUCAAAGAAAUCUCCAUUUGUGAGACUGUGUCCCUGUCUACACCAGGAAGAGGAGGACACUAGAUCACUAGACUCUUAAUCAAUGGAGAAGGCAUUGACUUAAAUCUGCAUAGCAGAACUUACCUUUGUUUAUGGUGCUUUUCCUGGUCAUCUUGUCAUACUGAAACUGCUGUUGCAAAAUUAUAACUGAGACAGUAAAAGAGAUCUGACCUAACUAACUCCAUCUUGCUUCUAACCUCCAAGCUGUCCUUGUUUAUUCGUGGGUGUAGGCCAAACUAACAUCAGGAGAAACUUAGUUUAUAAUUUAAAACAAAGACAAUAACAGCCCUUUCCCAAAACAGACCUGCUGAGACCAGCUCGGUCGGGGAGACCCUAACUCAGCAGCGCUAGAGGAAUUAAAGACACACACACAGAAAUAUAGAGGUGUGAAGUGGGAAAUCAGGGAUCUCAUAGCCUUCAGAGCUGACAGCCCCAAACAGAGAUUUACCCACAUAUUUAUUAACAGCAAACCAGUCAUUAGCAUUGUUUCUAUAAAUAUUCGAUUAACUAAAAGUAUCCCUUAUGGGAAAGGAAGGAAUGGGCCGAAUUAAAGGAAUAGGUUGGGCUAGUUAACUGCAGCAGGAACAUGCCCUUAAGACACAGAUCGCUCAUGCUAUUGUUUGUGGUUUAAGAAUGCCUUUAAGUUGUUUUCCGCCCUGGGUGGGCCAGGUGUUCCUUGCCCUCAUUCCAGUAAACCCACAACCUUCCAGCUUGGGCAUUAAGGCCAUUAUUAACUUGUUACAGUGCUGCAGAGAUUUUGUUUAUGGCCAGUUUUGGGGGGGCUUGCUCCCAACAUGUCUCCCUUCUUUGAUUUGCAGAGAGAUAAAAGCAAGGGCAGCUUUGUCACGGUAAGCUACUUCUCGCAGGAGUCAGGAUCCGCACCUGCAGACUAUACAAAGACAAACAACACAGAUUAAAAGCACAGUCAUCAUUGAAAUCACAGAGCUUCCAGGUGUUUUUAUCCAUUUUAAUGGGUUACUAGCUGCUAAUUUGUCUGCAGCUCCUUUAAGCACUCCAGUUCCUGGCAUUAACAUCAGGUGUGCCAGGGAUGCUUUAAAUAUUUGUUCUUUUAAUUUUGCUAUAUCCAAAAACAAGUUUGUAGAGUCUCCUUCUAGAAGCUUUUUUAUUCUUUCCCAAAUUUUGAUCUUAUUAAGAGCAUUUAAUAGUUUCCACAAAUCCUUAUGUUUAGCUCCUACAGCGGACCAUAUCAUUUGAGUUUGAGGUGCCACUAUACCGCCAUGUUUCCAGAUAAUAGGAACUUUUGCCGUACUUCUUAUCAUUUCUACCAUCUGACCAUUUUGUUCAGAUCAUCUGAACACAGUGUGGCCAUGGCACGCAGACUGAGAGUGCAAUUCAAGCUAAAUAUCCCCUUAGGGGAUCAAUUAAUAAUGAUUCCAUAGGAAUUGUUGUGCAGCACCUCUGCUGGUUCUGAAAAGCAAUCUUCCUAAACAACUACUUUCAUUUUUUCUAACUGGGUCCAAUCCUGUUUACAAAUAGGUUUUUGAGGGCAGUAUGCCUCAAUUAUAGGAGCAGAUUUAUUAUGGUAAAUACUGAGACCAGAAAGCAUGUGUAAUUCUCAUACAGUGAUUGCAUCCAGGCAUUAUUACCAGCCCUUAUUGAAGGAAUACUCACAGUAGUGGUGAUAACCACUAUCAUAGCUACCAUUAAAUUAUUCAUUGUGACUGGUUGUCCCACUUUCCUCAAGUUUUCUUCCACCAUCUGUGACAGCUUCUUGAUCUGCCCCCAGAUGGGUGGCUGUGUUCGACAGGUGUUGCUUGUGACAGUUGGGGUCCUCCUCAGCAUCAGUCUCGACAUGGCUGCAACCGAGGGGUCCUUGGGAUCCUCCCGGAAUCUCUUCCUCAGCAUCUGGCUCAUGAUAAGGUUUCAGGUGUCUUGAUGGUAUCCAAAUCGGCUGUUGAUUUUGGCCUGGAGAAAUACAAGCAUAAACUCUACCCCAAGUUAUUAUUUUACCUAUUUCCCAACUUUUUGUUAUCAGAUCUCUCCAACAAAUCAGUUGUUCUGUUUCUGUCUUUGCAGCUGGUUUCUGUAGAUGCUGUUCAGCUAUUGAUAACAUCUGGCCUUUGGGCAGGCUCAAAAAAUUUAAAGUUAAUAAUGCUAGGUUCAGUUGCAUCUGUGCUGUUCCAUAUUCUCUGUCUCUUCCUUUCUGCUUUUGCAACUGCUGUUUUAGGGAGAGAUUUAUUCUUUCCACUAUGGCUUGUCCUUGAGAAUUGUAUGGGAUAUCAGUAAUGUGUUUAAUAUUCCACAUAGAGAAAAAUGUAACUAGAGCUUGGCUAUUAUAGCCUGGGGGCAUUGUCUGUUUUUAUAGAAGCUGGAAUGCCCAUCACCGCAAAACACCGCAAAAGAUGACGUUUAACACAGGCAGAAGACUCUCCUGUUUGGCCUGUAGCCCAGACAAAGUGAGAAAAGAUGCCCACACAUACAUGUACGUAAGCUAGUCUCCCAAACGAGGGAAUAUGUGUGACAUCCAUUUGCCAAAUAGAGUUAGAUUCCAAUCCUCGAGGAUUAACUCCUCCUGUGAAAGAUGAGGAAUGUACCAUUUGGCAAGUCGGGCAUAGCUAGAUAAUAGCUUUAGCUUCUUUCCAGGUAAUGCUGUAUCUGCAUUUGAGACCAGAAGCAUUAACAUGGGUUAAAUUGUGAAAGUGUCUAGCAUUAGAUAUUGCAGUAGCAAGUAGGCAAUCAGCCAUUUGAUUCCCUUCAGUCAAAGGUCCUGGAAGAGGUGUAUGAGCUCUAAUGUGAGUGCUGUAAAAAGGGUGCAUUCUACUCCUAACUGCUGUUUGCAGUUGGGUAAAUAAAGUCAUCAGUUGUUCAUCUGUAUGAAAUCGUAACUGAGCAUUUUCAAUUAACUGUGUGGAAUGAACCACGUAUGAAGAAUCGGAAAUCACAUUAAUAGGCAUAUCAAAAGCAGUCAAUACCUCAAUUACAGCUACAAGCUCCGCUUUUUGAGCUGAAGUACAGGACGUCUGGAAAACUUUACUUUUUGAGCCAAAAUAAGAAGCUUUACCAUUACUAGACCCAUCUGCAAAAACAUUCUCAGCACCUUCAAUUGGUUUAAAUUUAGUUAUUUUAAGGAGAAUCCAAUUAGUUAAUUUCAGAAACUGAAACAGCUUCGUUUUAGGAAAAUGAUUAUCGAGAAUACCCACAAAGUCAGCUAAAUGGGUUUGCCAAGUAAGACUAUUUAUAAAAGCUAGUUGUAUUUGUGCCUUCAUGAGAGGGACAAUAAUUUUUCCAGGAUCAUAUCCAUGUAAUUAACAAUCCAAGUUCUCCCAAUCCCUAUCAUAGUAGCGAUUUGAUCUAAAUAAGGAGUUAGAGUCCGUGAAUUAGUAUGUGGAAUAAAAAGCCACUCUACUAAGUCCUGUUCUUGGACAAUAACACCAGUAGGUGAAUGCUGAGUUGAAAAAAUUAGCAAAUCUAGAGUCUUCUCUGGAUCUAUUCUAUUUAUCUGAGCUUUAUGGACUUGCUUCUCAAUCAGUUGUAACUCUGUCUCCGCCUUCUUUGUUAAUUGCCAAGGGCUAGUGAGACUAGGAUUUCCUCUAAGGAUAGAAAACAGAUUACUCAUGGCUUAGGUAGGAAAGCCUAGAGCAGGUCGUAUCCAAUUAAUAUCCCCUAGUAAUUUUUGAAAGUCAUUUAAUGUUUUUAGUUGAUUCCUACGUACAGUUACUUUCUGUGGCACAAUGGUGGUGUCAUUUACUAAGGUCCCCAAGUAGGAGUAAGGAGUAGUAGUCUGAAUUUUGUCAGGAGCUAUAACUAAACCAGCACGAGAAAUUGAAUUUUGCAAGUGAUCAUAACAUUGGAGUAAUAUUUCUCGAGUGGGGGCAGCACGUAGUAUAUCAUCCAUACAGUGAAUAAUGUAACAAAGUGAAAAUUUUUUACGAGUGGGUUCAAUUGCUUGCCCCACAUACGUCUAGCAAAUUGUUGGGCUGUUUAACAUGCCCUGUGGCCACACUUUCCAAUGAUAAUGCUUAGUAGGCUGCAGGUUAUUUACUGCAGGAACUGUAAAUGCAAACCGUUCACAGUCUGGCUCAGCUAAAGGGAUAGUAAAGAGACAGUCUUUUAAAUCUAUGACUAUUAAAGGCCAAUUUUUUGGAAUUAUAGCAGGAGAAGGCAAUCCUGGCUGUAAUGCUCCCAUAGGUUGUAUAACUGAAUUGAUGGCUCUUAAGUCAGUUAACAUUCUCCAUUUACCUGAUUUUUUCUUAAUUAUGAAAACUGGAGAAUUCCAAGGAGAAAAUGUGGAGCUAUGUGCCCAUUUUCUAAUUGUUUGGCAACUAAUUUCUCUAAAGCCUCCAGUUUUUCUUUACUUAGUGGCCAUUUUUCUAUCCAAAUUGGCUUAUUUGUUAACCAUUUUAAAAGUAUAGGUUCUGGAGGCUUAACAAUGGCCACCAUCAAAAGGCGGGCAGAUCACCAGGUCAGGAGAUUGAGACUAUCCUGGCUAACACAGCAAAACCCCAUCUCUACUAAAAAUACAAAAAAAUUAGCUGGGCGUGGUGGCAGGCGCCUGUAGUCCCAGCUAUUCAGGAGGCUGAGGCAGGAGAAUGGUGUGAACCCAGGAGGUGGAGCUUGCAGUGAGCCCAGAUCACGCCACUGCACUCCAGACUGGGCGAUAGAGUGAGACUCUGUCUCAAAAAAAAAAAAAAAAUUAUUUCCUAAUCUUUGGUGAGAACUUUGUUUUUCCACUUGAAGCGGUUCUUUCAAACCUUGCAAAUUUUUUUCUAGUCCCAUACCAGGGACAUACCUAUUUCCUGCAUUGUACAUUGACUUUGAGGACUAUAUAAUUGUUCUGGAAUUAGAACUUGUGCUCCCCAUUGUUGUAAUAAAUCUCUUCCCCAUAAAUUUAUAGGUACAGACGUUAUAAUUGGUUGAAUAGUCCCAGGUUGUCCAUCGGGCCCUCACAGUGCAAAAUAUAACUACCUUGAUAUACUUCAGUGGCUUUACCAAUUCCAACUAUGUUAAAUUGAGUGGGUUGAAUUGGCCACGUGGACAGCCAGUGCUGUAGAGAAAUGAUUGAAAUAUCCACUCCUGUAUCUACCAAACCUUUAAAUUUCUUUCCUUGAAUAGUUAUUUCACAGGUAGGACGUUUAUCAGUAAUUUGAUUUAGCCAAUAAGCUGCUUUGCCUUGUUUAUUUGUGCUUCCAAAUCCUCCUGUUCAUUUAAUUUCACUUUUUCCCAUUCCCACAUAUGGCACAAUCAGGAGCUGUGCUAUGCACUCUCCUGGCUCUGCUUUCCAGGGAACAGAAGUAGAUAUAACAAUUUGAAUUUCCCCAAUGUAAUCUGAAUCAAUGACUCCUGUAUGUAUUUGUACCCCUUUUAAAUUUACACUAGACCUUCCUAAAAGUAAUCCCAUUAUCCCUGCUGGCAAGGGUCCACAGACUCCUGUUGGGACCUUUUGCAGGGGUUCCCCAGGCAGAAGGCUGACAGCUUUUGUGCAGCAUAAAUCUACUGUGGCACUACCAGCUGUGGCAGGGGACAGACAUUGUACAGGGGUGAGGGAAUGGCCUGAGCUGGAAAUGUCCUGAUUUAGAAUGGGGCCUGGGACGGGCUCCUCAUGGCGUUUCCCAAAAUUGGGUUCCCUUCUUUAUCAAACUUAGAGUGACACUGACUAGCCCAGUGUUUUCCUUUUUUACAUUUUGGACAUAUUUCAGGCUCAACAGUUUUCUUUUUUCCCCUAUCUGGCGGCCUGACUUGCUGAUUUUUUCUACAUUCCUUUUUAGUAUGACCAUGCUUCCCACAAGAAAGUUAAAACAAGCUCCAGGAAAUGGAGUAUUUCCUUUAUCCACUCUCCGUCCUGCCACUGCCUGUGCCAACAAAGUAGCUUUAUGCAGAUUACCUCCAAUACCAUCACAGGCCUUGACAUAAUCAACUAAAUGUGCUUUCCCUCUGAUAGGUCGCAGAGCAGCCUGGCAAUCGGGAUGAGCAUUGUCGAAAGCUAGUAACUGCAACACUAUCUCCUGAGCAGCCGAAUCUGCAAUCAUCUUUUUAAGAGACUCCUGUAACCGAGCUAUAAAAUCAACAUAUGGUUCCCUUGGUCCCUGUUUCAUAGCACUAAAGGAAGGGUAUUGUUCCCCACCUGAGGUGAUUUUUUUCCCAAGCUCUAAUGCGCACUCCUCUAAGCUGUUCUAUGGGAUCAUCCUGCAUGGACAAUUAUGCAUCUAAACCAGCCCAGCUGCCAACCCCCAAAAGUUGGUCUGCAGUUAUAUUAAUUUGAGGUUGGGCCUGGGCAUUGCGAGCAGCCUGAAUGGAGGCUGCAUCUGCCCACCAAGUUUUAAAUUGUAAGAACUGAGCAGGAGUUAGACAAGCUCGAGUAAGAGUGUCCCAGUCAGUAGGAAUCUUCUGACUGGAAACUGUAACAUUCUUUAACAGUCCCAUUACAAAGGGAGAACCUGGUCCAUACUGACUUAUUGCUUGUUUGAAUUCUUUGAGUAAUUUAAAAGGAAAAGGCUCAAAUGUAGCUAUAAUAUUUCCCUGUUGAUCUGGGGGGUGUAUUCUAACAGGGAACUGCCAAGCCUCUAAAUCACCCUCUUGUCUAGCUUGCUGAAUGCCUGCCUGAAUAGAACUAAGAGCAGUCCCUCGAGGUGCUGCUCGAACAGUCACGGGGGCAACUACUUUUCGCCCAGUGUCCUCCGGAAAAGAAAGAUCUGGGGGGUCAUUUUCUUCAAAAUAAUAAUGAGGGGGUGCAGAAGGGUAGGGAUGAACCUCUCCCUCCUUUGCCACUUUGGCUUUAGCUGGCAAAUAAACCUGCUCUGUAACCUCUUCUGUUACUUCACUAUACUCUUGUUCCUCCUAAUUAUCAGUGUGAAAAAGUUCCAAGGUGAAAUGAACCAGACCCCAUACCUGUCCAUUGUUACCCUGACGCUUCCGAGCUCCCCUUCUUACUCACCAUGCGGAUUGCUUUAAGAGUACUUGGGUGUCCUCCAGCUAGUUUUCUGUUCCAACCGUUGCUCUGGCAACCCUUCGACCUGGAUUCAAGCCCCCACGAAUGGACGCCACUUGCUGAGACCAGCUCCGUCAGGGAAACCCUAACCCAGUGGCGCUAGAGCAAUUAAAGACACACACACAGAAAUAUAGAGGUGUGAAGUGGGAAAUCAGGGGUCUCACAGCCUUCAGAGCUGAGAGCCCCGAACAGAGAUUUACACACAUAUUUAUUAACAGCAAACCAGUCAUUAGCAUUGUUUCUACAGAUAUUCGAUUAACUAAAAGUAUCCCUUGUGGGAAACGAAGGGAUGGGCCGAAUUAAAGGAAUAGGUUGGGCUAACUAACUGCAGCAGGAACAUGCCCUUAAGACACAGAUCCCUCAUGCUAUUGUUUGUGGCUUAAGAAUGCCUUUAAGUGGUUUUCCGCCCUGGGUGGGCCAGGUGUUCCUUGCCCUCAUUCCAGUAAACCCACAACCUUCCAGCUUGGGCAUUAGGGCCAUUAUGAACAUGUUACAGUGCUGCAGAGAUUUUGUUUAUGGCCAGUUUUGUGGGGGCUUGAUCCCAACACAGACCCCUUUCUUUACUGAGAACUAGACUGCCUUUGUAAGACUAACAAAUUAGCCAAAAGAUAUGAAAUUAUGGUUUAGGAAUCAUGCAGCUGGAGGCUGCAAGAUUCUGACCCUCUCCAAGUUGUUUCUGGGGAUAACAUCACUAUUGUAAGGCCUAAGAUCACUGCUUGAGAUAUUUUGCAGAGCCAUAUUUUGAGGUAUCACCUCUGUAGGGGUGAAAGUAUAACUGCCCAACAGGUUCAUUUUGCCCACUGCCCAGAUAGAGCCAAUUUAUCAAGACAGGGGAAUUGCAAUAGAGAGUUUAAUUCAUGCAGAGCCAGCUGAUACUAGAGUUUUAUUAUUCAAACCAGUCUCUGCAAAUUCAGAGGCCAGGGUUUUUUAAGGAUAAUUUGCUGGGUAGGGGCUAGGGAAUGGGUGCUGCUGAUUGGUUGGUGAGUGCAAUCAUAGGGGUGUGGAAAAUGGUCCUCUUUUGGUGCACUGAGUCUGUUUCUGGGUGGAGCCAUAGGACAGGUUGGUGGGUCUGAAUGGAGCCAUCAGUCAUCAGAAAGGUUAAAAACCUGAAAAUAUAUCUCAAAAGGCCAAUCUUCAGUUCAACAAUAGUGAUGUUAUCUGCAGGAGUAAUUGGGGAAGUUGCAAAUCUUGUGGCUAGUUUGUUAGUCCUACAAAGGCAGUCUGGUCCCCAGGCAAGAAGGGAGUUUGUUUUUGGAAAAAGCUCCAAAUUCUGCCUCCUGGGUUCAAGCAAUUCUCCUGCCUCAGCCUCUUGAGUAGCUGAAACUACAGGCACACACCACCAUGCCCAGCUAAUUUUUGUAUUUUUAGUAGAGAUCGGUUUUCACCAUGUUGGCCAGGCUGGUCUCAAACUCCUGACCUCAGGUGAUCCACCUGCCUCGGCCUCCCAAAGUGCUGGGAUUACGGGCAUGAGCCACUGUACCAGGCUGAUAAAAUUUCUUUAAAAAGAUUUUUUAAAAAGGAAACUCCCCAUGUUCACUUAAAAUGUUUUAUUUCCUGAAUUUUAAUUAAAACUUUUUAAUGUCCUUCAUAUACUAUAUGAUGGUACUGAAUUUUAAUCUUUUUGAUUUAUUUUAUAUGAAAGCAGAAUCUCUGGGGGUGGGAGUGAUACCCUGGUUAAUUGUUCUCUAGGUAUAUGUGUGUGUGUGUGUAUAUAAGUGUGUGAGUAUUUUAUUUAUUUUAUUUUUUUGAGAUGGAGUCUUGCUCUAUUGCCCAGGUGCAAUCUUGGCUCACUGCAACUUCUGCCUCCCAGGUUCCAGUGAUUCUCCUGCCUCAGCCUCCCUAGUAGCUGGGAUUAUAGGCAUCUACCACCAUGCCCGGCUAAUUUUUGUAUUUUUGUAGAGACGGGGUUUCACCAUGUUGCCCGGGCUAGUCUUGAACUCCUAACCUCAGGUGAUCCACCUGCCUCAGCCUCCCAAAGUGCUGGGAUUACAGGAUUGAGCCACUGCACCUGGGCUUCUCUAGGUAUAUUUUUGAGUUGGUUUGGAAAAUUGUGACAAUAAUGCCUGGUGCAUAUGUAGAUCUUUAUGUGAAAUUCGUUGACAUCAGUGCUAUCUAUGCCAUUGAAAGAUCAUCUGAUCCAUUUCUCCACUGCUCCUCUAAUGUUUAUAAAAAUGUUCUCUUAGUUUGGCUAAUAUACAUAUAAUGAAAUGGGGAAAAUGUUUAAGCACAGGGAACCCAUCUUUUCCUGUUAUGAGAAGGAACAUUUGAAUUAAUGUUAAAGAGAACAGAGAUUUUCUCUAAAGGAGGGGUUUGUCUACAACUGCUCUGGGGAAAAUCUGUCCAAGUGUUUGCCACGCCUAUGGCCUGAACUCCUGAAACAUCUUUCAAAACAUCCAAGACAGGUGGGGCGUGGUGGCUCACUCCUAUAAUCCCAGCACUUUGGGAGACUGAGGUGGGCAGGUCACUUUAGGUUAGGAGUUCAAGACCAGCCUGGCCAACAUGGUGAAACCCCAUCUCUACUAAAAUUACAAAAAUUAGCUGGGCAUGGUGGCAUGCACCUGUAGUCCCAGCUGCUUGGGAGGCUGAGGCAUGAGAAUCAUUUGAACCAGGGAGGCAGAGGUUGCAGUGAGCUGAGAUGGCACCAGUGCACUCCAGCUCGGGUGACAGAGUGAGAAUGUCUCAAGAACAAAGAAAACAUAAUCUCCAAGCGAGUUAUAGUGCAUGCUACACAGCAUCACCUCCCAGAUCUCAGGUAUUUUUUCUACAAUCAGGAUUAAGACAGGUAGGAAAUAACUUGGUCUUUCAAAAACGGCUGUGGCAUGCUGGAGGCCAGGAGGGCAAAUCUUGCCAUUAGAUACAUGUUGGCUGGCGCACAUAAUGUUUUUAAUACUACUUUUUUAUACACAAACAGAAUUUCUGGCUUCUUAGGAAUAUCAAGCUAUAUGACAACACAAGGUCCAUAUUCCUGCAUAAAACCAUAGGGGCAGGGGUUCAGUCCAAGUGUCCCCUUUAAAUGGGGCAAGUGCUCCUCAGUUCACCAAAGGCCCCCACCUCCCUACCACUCCCUACCCCUCCACCAGGCCCACACAUUAGUUACCUGUCAAUAAAAAGAGUUGAACUCUGUAACAUAUUUGAAGAGAUUUAUUUUGCGCCAAAUAUGAGUGACCAUGGCCCAUGACACAGCCCUCAGGAGGGCCUGAAAACAUGUGUCCAAGGUGGUUGGGGCACAGCUUGGUUUUACACAUUUUAGAGAGGCAUGAGACAUCAACCACACACAUUUAAGAAAUACAUUGGUUUGUUCCAGAAAGGCAGGACAACUCAAAGCCGAGGCUUCCAGGCUAUGGUGAAUUUAAACAUUUUCUGAUUGACAAUUGGUUGAGUUUAUCUAAAGACCUGGGAUUGAUAGAAAGGGAAUGUUCAGGUUAAGAUAAAGACUGUGGAGACCAAAGUUCUUUUGAAAUCUUAUAGUGGCUGCCCUAAGAGAUGAUAGAUGACAAAUAUUUCCUAUUCAGAUCUUAGUCUCUUCAGGAUUGGGAGGAUCUGCAAUAAAAAGAUCUAGCUAUGUUAAGAGAUUCUUUACAGAUCCAAACUUUCCCCCACAAAGAACAGCUUUGCAGGACAAUUUCAAAAUACGGCAAAGAAACAUGUUUUGGGGUAAAAUAUUUUGAUUUUCUUCCUUGUCUCAAAAUGUUAUGAUGCCAGAGUCAGUUUGGAAAGUAAGUCAUGAUAUAUAGAGUUAAAACCCAUCUGAUGUGAAUUUAUGAUUUGUAGGUUAUGACUCCCCAGACCCCUUAGGUAGGAAUUUGGGCAAGAUAAAAAAUCAAGAGUUUAGUCCUUAUAUCCAAUGAGGGCAUUUGAACUAAUGUAAUGGCUUCUGUUUGUUGUUUUGUUUUGUUUUGUUUUGCUUUGUUUUGUUUUGAGUCAGGGUGUUGCUCUGUUGUCCAGGAAAGUGCAGUGGCACAAACAUGGCUCACUGCAGCCUUGACCUCCCAGGCUCAGGCGAUCCUCCCACCUCAGCCUACUAAGUAGCUGGGACUACAGGUGGGUGCCACUACACCUGGUGGAUUUUUAAAAAUUUUUUGUAGAGAUGGGGUGUCAUUAUGAUACCCAGGCUGGUCUCAAACUCCUCAGCCUCUGAUUCUCUCACCUUGGUCUCCCAAAGUGCUGGGAUUACAGGCAUGAGCCACUGUGCCCAGGCAAUGGCUUCUUUAAAAUGCUAUUUAUCUCUCCUAUUUAAGUGCCCCUCUCUAUAUUUAAAUAGUAGUCCUGCUGGUACCCACCUCAUGCAACUUAGAUUACUGGAUUUGUAUAGUUUUACCCUUUAAAAAUCUAUUUUGUAACUUGCUAUACUCUCCUAGAAUACUAUGCGGAUUAAGUUCUUAAUGUGAUAAAUAUUCUAUUAUAUACAUAUUCAUUUCUCUUCCAAGUGAUUUCCUUGUCUUAGGGACCCAUUAGUUACUUGCUAUUCAAUGGGUAUCAAUAUAUUGUGAAAAUUAAUCUUUAGUAAAUUUUCAUUUAGGUUUUGUUUGAUUGUUUAUUCUUUUAGGUUUGAUUGCUGAUUUACUUCUCUGAAUUUUAGAUUCUUCUGUAGUUUCUGACCUCCAGGCAAAGGUGGAUGAAUGGAGUUCUGAUAUAUUAGUGAGAUAAAGGGCUCAAUAGAAUUCAUCCAAGAGACACAGCUGCUCCAGGGAGAGCCACCAUCAUUAGCAAUAAGGAAAGUAAGAGUACAAGGCUCCUUUGCUAGAACAACUGGGUGCUUCUUUCUUUUUUUUUUUCCCUCUUCUCUUCCUGACCUCCAUAUUCUAACUUUACAAGUGAUUUUUUUUUCUUUUCCAAAGUAAAGGAUGAGAACAGAAGAUUCUUUCUACUUCCAUAUCCAGGAACUGAAACUCACUAUAUUUAUCCCCAAACACCUCCUUCCAUUCUUCUCCCAGAUUGGCUAAUGUCCACAUUUAUAUGCUUAAUGUUUCCUAUAGCUACUACACAUUUGAUCACUUCCAACAUGAAACAUUGGAACAACCCUGAAUAUCACUGCCAUAAAGAUAGCCACAGAGAUUGGUUACUGCUUGGUGUUUGCCUUAUUUGAACACAGUUUGAACACUUAGCAGUCUGAGUGGUUGCAGUAUGGCUUCUGGGAUUGGCCAAAACUCAGCUGUUGUUACAGGUGCAUACAACUAAGUUAGGUUUUCAAUUUUGUCUGAUUAUUAAGCUAGGUUACAGUUCAUCCACAAGGACUCAAAUAUAGAAGUACAGAGUCCUGGCUGGGUGCGGGUGGCUCAUGCCUGUAAUCCUAGCACUUUGGGAUGCCCAGGCGGGCGGAUCAUGAGGUCUGGAGUUUGAGACCAGCCUGGCCAACAUAGUGAAACUCCGUCUCUACUAAAAAUACAAAAAUUAGCCAGGCAUGGUGGUGCGUGCCUGUAGUCCCAGCUACUCGGGAGGCUGAGGCAGUAGAAUUGCUUGAACCUGGGAGGUGGAGGUUGCAGUGAGCUGAGAUCAUGCCACUGCACUCCAGCUUGGGCAACAGAGUGAGAUUUCGUCUCAAAAAAAAAAAAAAGAAAAGAAAAAGAAAGAAAGAAAAGAAAGAAAAAAUAAAAAAUAAAAGAAAUACGGAGUCCUUCUCAGGCCAUAUUUAGUUAGCUUUAAUGCUGCAUACACCUUAACCAUACCACAUAGCAUAUGGUUUCCAUGUCAGUUUCACCCACCAGCUCCUUAAGGGAUAAAGCAGGUAUCUUCUUUAGAUUUUGGUGCCUACUUGUUUGAUGAAAGGAAAGAGGGAAGGAAGGAAGGGAGGGAGGGAGGGAGGGAUGCUGACAGACAUUCUGAGAGCAGUGUCUAGAUAUCCCGAGGGCCGUGGCAGAGAGGGAUGUGAAUUACCCAUGGUGAUGCCCCCAAGGUGAUGGCUCUUUGGCCCAGAAGAUGUGUACAGGGCAAACUCUUACGCCUACAGGGACAGUGAAGGAAGGUAGUCUUAGGUAUAAGGCACCAAAAAGUAGUGGGGACUGUGGUGAACAGACAGAGAGGAAAUGCUCUGUCUAAAGGGAACAAGCUAAUAAUUGCUAUGCAGAAAUGCUGGCCCUGUGUGGCCAGACCUUCUGAUUGGAUUUUUUUUUCUUUUUUGAGAUGGACUCUCAUUCUGUUACCCAGGCUGGAGUGCAGUGGCAUGAUCUCAGCUCACUGAAGCCUCUGUCUCCCGGGUUCAAGUGAUUCUCCUACCUCAGCCUCCCCAGUAACUGGGACUACAGGUGUGUGCCACACACCUGGCUAAUUUUUGUAUUUUUAGUGGAGACUGGGUUUCACUAUGUUGGCCAGGCUGGUCUUGAACUCCUGACCUCAAGUGAUCUGCACCUCAGCCUCCCAAAGUGCUGGGAUUACAGGCAUGAGCCAUCGUGCCUGACCUGGAUUCUUCUUUUUUUUUUUUUCUUUGAGAUGGAGUCUCGCUCUGUCGUCCAGGCUGGAGUGCAGUGGCUCAGUCUCAGCUCACUGCAAGCUCCGCCUCCCGGGUUUAUGCCAUUCUCCUGCCUCAGCCUCCCUAGUAUCUGGGACUACAGGCGCCCACCCCCACACCCCGCUAAUUUUUGUAUUUUUAGUAGAGAUGGGGUUUCACCGUGUUAGCCAGGAUGGUCUCAAUCUCCUGACCUCGUGAUACGCCCGCCUCAGCCUCCCAAAGUGCAGGGAUUCCAGGCGUGAGCCACCACGCCCAGCCCUGGCCUGGAUUCUUUUUUGACUGUUUUUAAAAAAAAUUGGAUCAUUAUUUUAAUCAGUUAAUACUGAUUGUAUUUUUUCCCCCAAAGAAGUCAGAAUCAAUAUUUUAGAAUGAGAAAUCUCCUACAUUUUAAAUAUUGGUCACAUUAAACAUUAGGCUAGAUUCUGGUCUUGGUUUGACAAUUUGUGGUUUCUGGUACAAGACAUUGAGGAAUGUUGAUUUGUAAAACUAUAAAAAUGUGAGCCAGUGCAGUGGUUCAUGCUUGUAAUCGUAACACUUUGGGAGGCCAAGGCAGGUGGAUUGCUUGAGACCAGGAGUUAGAGACCAGCCUGGGCAACAUGUCGAAACCCUGUCUCUACAAAAAAUACAAAAAUUAGCUGGGCACAGUGGCGUGUGCCUAUAGUCCCAGCUACUGGGGAGGCUGAGGUGGGAGGACUGCUUAAGCCUGGGAGGUCGAGGCUGCAGUGAGCCAUGUUCAUGCCACUGCACUCCAGUUCCUGGCUUGGGCUACAAAGUGAGACCCUGUCUCCAAAAAACAAAACAAAACAAAAUGGGACAGUUGCAGAGCAAAUGGCGAAAUAUAUCUACAAGAACACACUCAUCAAUCAAAAGCUGAGUUAAUUUAGUUAAAUACACAUUGGAGAAAAGAGGAAAAUGUAUUAAGGGAAGUGUCAGGUAAUAAAUAUUGAAUCAGGUCCUUGAUUUGAUUUUGAAGCAGAAAUGAGCUAUGUAUGAAGGAGGUCCAGUAAUAAAAACAAUGGGAGAUUUCUUCAAUAGGGGUGAAUAAUUUUGUAGGUACUUAUGCAUUCUCAGCUAUAAAUACCCCUGUAGAAGCAGCUAACAUCAUUAAAUCCAAAUAUGAAAAUUUAUCCAUGCUAAGUAUUCACUACAAGAACCAAUUGCACAAGUUGGGGACCUGAUUUUAAUAAUUGGACUAUAUUUUUAUAUUAAAAUUACUUUUCAUCUUGAGCACUGUAAAAUACCAUACAAACUUAUUACUUCAUUAAGUCCUGAUAUUACCCAAUGAAGUAGAUUAUUUGUAUUCCCACAUUUGCUAAGAAAUUAAGGUUUGGAAAAGUUUCAUUCAUUCAUUUGACAAAUAUUUAAUUUAGUAUGCAGUAGUGAACAAAGCAAACCAAACCUCCUGCCUUCAUGGAGUUUCAACUCCAGGUGAAACCAAGUAAACAGACACAGUAAAUAGCCUUCCUUUCAGACGCAGCACUGUUUUUGAAUUCAGGCUUGCCUUCCUUCCUUCUUUCCUUCCUUCCUUCCCUUCCUUCCUUCCUUCCUUCCUUCCUUCCUUCCUUCCUUCCCUUCCUUCCUUCCUUCCUUCCUUCUUUCUUUCUUUUUCUUUUCUUCUUUUUUUCUUUGAGGCUGGAGUGCAGUGGCAUCAUCUCAGCUCACUGCAACCUCUGACUCCCAGGUUCAAGCAAUCCUCAUGCCUCAACCUCUCAAGUAGCUGGGAUUACAGGUGUUCACCACCAUGCCUGGCUAAUUUUUUUAUUUUUAAUUUUUAUUUAUUUGUUU
This 61394-nucleotide long non-coding RNA is filed under the name Homo sapiens (human). RNAcentral's name for it is "HSALNT0326599". Lineage: Eukaryota; Metazoa; Chordata; Mammalia; Primates; Hominidae. The record is from RNAcentral.